CUCUCACGACUCCUCCUCUCUCCUCUCUCUCUCUCUCUCUCUCUCUCUCUCUCUCUCUCUCCAGUAGCUACGCGGCGGUGGCGGCGUCGGAGCUGACAGCGGCUCGCGGUCCCAAGCUUCGGCGGGAGAUGGAGUGGAGGAAGAUGGCGUCGUCGGCGACGCUGACCUUGGCUGUGGCUGCUGCUGCUCCACAGUCGCCGCCUUCGCCUCCGCCGCACAGUGAACCACCACCACCGCGACGCUGCUGUUCUGAGACGGAGGGAGCCGCGCACGCGGCAGUGUUGCUCCGCCACUACUGACUCGCCUGGAGAAGAAGACGCGCAUCUGGCUCGGCACCUUUUACUCAGCGCCGUUUUCCCCAAGUUGGAGGAUAUGUAGGAUUCAAAACCCUAGAUCCUACAUAUGGAGGUUCUUUCUUGUCGUGAUUUUCUACCAUCGAUCAUGUCAUCUAUUAAGCACAGUAGAUCUUUGAGGAAACUGUGCAUUGUCUUCGAUCUUCGAUUUCGACACUAUUGAAAGAAUUCUAUUAAGCACAUUGUCUUCGGCUUCUAUUGAAUUAUGAAAUCUUUGAGCCAACACUAUUGAAAGAUCAGCUACUGUUUUUUGUAAUUCACGUAUCUACAGUUGUUGAAUUUGGGGUUUGGAUAGUAGAAAGGCUGGGGAAGAAAGUCAAACGCUGGCUUGAUUUUGAUUUUCUCGGGGAAAUGACUUCAUCUUGAUUUCUUCGAAUAGAAAAAUUGAAGAUGAUGUGCUGCUCUUGUUUAUUUUAAUUUUAAUUGUGAAAUUAGAACAUUUUUAUUAAUGUUCUUAAAUUCACAACUUAAUGUUAUUAAAUUCACAACCAAAUCUAUAAAUUCACAAGUUAAUGUUCUUGAAUUCACGACUACGUCUAUGAAUUCACAACUUAAUAUUCUUGAAUUCACAACUAAAUCUAUGAAUUCACAAUUUAAUGUUCUUGAAUUCACGACCACAUUUAUGAAUUCACAACUUAAUGUUUUUAAAUUCACAACUAGAUUUAAGAAUUCACAACCAGGUCGAUGAAUUCACAACUUAAUGUUCUUGAAUUCACAACUAGCUCGAUGAAUUCACAACUUAAUAUUUUGAAUUUACAACCAAAUCUAUAAAUUCACAAUCAAAAUAAAUUACAGUUUUGAUUGUGAAUUCAAACUUUAAAAACUCAAAUUCACAACUACUUGAAUUCACAACCAAAAUAAAUUCUAGUUGUGAAUUAAAUUCAGGUUGUGAAUUUGGCUGAUUGUGAAUUCACAACCAACAUAAAUCUGGUUGUGAAUUAAAUUUUGGUUGUGAAUUAAAUUUUGGCUGUGAAUUCGAUUAGUUGUGAAUUUACAAAUAAAAAAUUCUGAUUGUGAAUUCAACUGGUUGUGAAUUGCGGGAUUUUUUAAAGGGGUGAUGUAAAGUGGACAUUUUUUUAAUUUUUAAUGUGAAAGGGUAUUUUGGUAACAAUGGUCAUUUUUUAAUAUUUUUUAUCUUAGUGGACAAUUUUUAAUUUUACAAUAUGAAAGUGACCAUUUUAAAAAUUCACUCUUUAUUAUAUGAUAUUAAAUUCAUAUUUAUUUUCUAAGUUUCAUAUUUGCAAAAUUAAUUUUAAUUCUGAUUGAGAAACUUGUUUGCCAAAUAUAUUAAGAGAAACAAAAAAAAAUUAAAACAAAUGUGACUAAAUCUUUUUACCCACACAUAAUAAAAUGUCUUAAACUAUUUAAAAUCGUAUACUGAGUUUACAUACACAUAUUCAAUUAUGUGUAGGUAUUUUGCCACACAUAAUUAUGUGUGACAAAUUAUGUGUGGCUAAAACUUCCACGUCAGCAUUAAAUAUAUUAAGAGUUAAACGAAAAAUAAAAAAUAAAAAAUUAAAUGUGACUAAAUAUUUUUACCUACACAUAAUUAAAUGUCAUUAACUAUUUAAAACUGUGUAAUGAAUUUACCUACACAUAUUUAAUUAUGUGUGGGUAUAUUGCCACACAUAAUUAUGUGUCACAAAUUAUGUGUGGCUAAAACCCUUAUAUCAUAAAUGACACUAUAUACUUGUUAUAACAAUAACACUAUAUAAUGAGUCAAUGUAUGAAAGUAGCCAUUUUCUUUUAGUAAACUUAAAAUUUAUCCACUCAAAUAAAACUUAAAAAAUUAUCCACUUUUUGUGUUAAAUUACUAAAACUUAAAAAAUUCACAACUUAAUGUUCUUGAAUACACGACCACAUCUACGAAUUCACAACUUAAUAUUCUUGAAUUCACAACCAGAUAUAUGGAUUCACAACUAAAAAUAGAAUUCACAAUCAGCUCGAUGAAUUCACAGCUGAAUCAUUAGUGUUGGUUGUGAAUUCGACUUUUAAAGCUCGAAUUCACAACUAGUUGUUUUGGUUGUGAAUUCAAACUUUAAAAUUCAAAUUUACGACUACUUGAAUUCACAACCAAAAUAAAUACUGGUUGUGAAUUCGAUUGGUUGUGAAAUGCACGAAUUUUUUAAAGGGUAGUGUUUAAAUUUUUAUAUGCAAGGGUAAAAUGGUAAGUGUGGAUUUUUUUUUUAAGUUUAUAUUUUAGUGGGUAAUUUUUAAGUUUACUAAAAGAAAUAGGCUAUUUUAAAAAUCCACUCUUAUAUAAUUCUACAAAUGACACUAUUAUCUUAUAUAAAUAACACCAACACUAUUCUAUUUUAUAAAUAACACUAUAUAAAUGACACUAUCAUGUUAUAAAAAUAACAUUAUAUUAUUCUACAAAUGACACUAUUAUAAAUGAUAUAAUUGUUAUAAAAAUAACACUAUUAACUUGUAAAAAUGACACUAUCAUACUCCCUCUGUCCCAAUAUUGUUGGCCACAUUUCCUUUUUAGUUUGUCCCACUAUUGUUGGCCACUUUCCUAAAAUGGAAAUAUUUAUCACAUUCAAUCUCUUACUUUAUCACAUUAUCUCUCCUACUUUAUCACUUUAUUACAUUCUCUCUCCUACUUUAUCAUUUUAUUACAUUAUCUCUCAUACUUUAUCACAUUCUCUCUCCUACUUUAUUACUUUUAUACUAUAUUACUCAUACACUUAAAAUACUAAUCUACAACUCCUUAAUUCCCGUGCCGAAACCAAAUGUGGCCAACAAUAUUGGGACGGAGGGAGUAUUAUUUAAAUAAUACUAUCAUGUUAUUAUAUAAACAACACUACCAUUAUAUAGUUCUAUAAACAACACUUAUUUAAAACUUCUCGCGCUUGAUUCUUUCAGCUCGAAAUCAAUCGUGUGUAUAAUUAAAGAUGGGACUGAACUUAGAAAUCAAGAAACAUAUUUGAUCAUUCCUUCACGUGUGUCACCUGCCCCUAAAUCAUGCCUAAUCAUUGCCAUNUUUUUUUUCCUUUUUCUUUUAUUCCUCAAUCAUGUUUUCUCUUGCUUCUAUUCUUCCGCACACAUUCUCAAUUCAAAUUUGAAGGCGCAGAAGGUGUUUGACAAAAUUCUUCAACUAGAAAACCAGACAAAAACAAACUACUGAAAUCGUCCAUGGCUUCUUCCAUAGAUAACGUAAAAAAAGCAGUAAAAAAAUAUUCACAAGGUAUACCAUUCCCACCUCUCCAUUCUUCACUAUCUUUAAGUAAUAGCUUCAUCUGCACUGUGAUUCCUGCCCAGCCUCUUCUUGGACAAGUCGUAGCCAUAGCCGCCGAGCAAAGGGAUAGUCGAGAAUUUCAUGGGAGAUUUCUUCUUAAUCUGCCCAAAUAGCUUCUUCCAUUGCAGAGUUCCAUAACCGAGCUCCCAUGCAAGCCCUCUUUCCGCCGCACCCGAUUUCUCCCCCUCGAAACUGCUGUCCGAAUAUGCACCGGAUAAAGGUAUCUCCAAUGCACCCUUCGGAGAUGAACCUUCUUCUUCUCCAACACACCCCUCGGAGGGAUUUCAAAAAUUGGGAUUUGUUUUAGUUAUGUGAAAUCGAGAGAUGGGAGGAAAGAGGGAGAGAUGGAGCCAUGACAGCGACGCCGCUGUUGCUGCGGUCGUUGUCUCCGGCGAGUGAUGGCAGGCGGCGUUAGAGAGAGAGAUAGAGAGAGAAAGGUGUCAGUGAGGGGAUAAGCCGUGGUUGAUCAUUUAAUUUUUUUUUUUUUAAUGAAAAUAGGUCAGGGUAUGAAAAUAUGGGUCAGGAUCUGAAGGGUACGAUCCGGGUUUACAGUACAUCCAAGUGUGUACACACGAUUUUGUAUUAAUAAAAAUGGUUAAAUAUUGUCCCCUUGGGAUGACCUAGUGGAUGGGGUGGUUGCCUGUUGUCCAAGAGGUCACAGAUUCGAGUACUCUCGGCCACUAUUACCACCAUAGGUGGGGUGUGUGAGUGGUUUGUAUUAUUUAUUUAGAAAUUUCAUCAAAAAAAAAAAAAAAUGGUUAAGUAUUGUGAUUGGAGAAAAUAUUUCACAUGAAAGGUAGUGUUAAUAAGGAGUGAAGAAAAUGUCUCCCAUGUGGUAGAAUAUGUAAAUAAGUUACUCCCUCCGUCCCACGAAUCUUGACACGUUUGAUUUCGGCACGAGAAUUAAAUUCAAUAUGUAUUAAUCAUGAGAACCUUAAUUAACAUACAUGUAAAAAAGAGUCUAUGGAUGAUAAGAAUAGUUUCAACUACAUUAUUUUCUAGGGUAAGGUGCAGAUCCACCCCUGAAGUAGAGACCCCUAUAGCGUUUACCCCCUCAUUCUCGAUCUUGGCGCAAACACCCCCCCCAUAGUCCAGAAAAUGGUACAAUUAAACCCAGACCUCUAACCGUUAAGUCCGUUAAACUUUGGUUUAAUUGCACCCUCUACUUCAGGGGUGGAUCUCACCUUAACUCUCUUUUUUUUUCUUUUCUUUUUUCAAUUUCGCAACCCACUCCGGUAUCAGCUUAGCGCCCCGUACUUAUCGACUCCGACUUGCACCUUGAUCAGUCCACGUGCCCAAUCUCUUGGUCGUUGACAUGCGGCAGCGCAAGAGGUCCAGGACCGAAUAUGGACCGAAUCCUACUUGGUUCAAUCCAGAUCGUAUUUUUUUACUUAGGUCCGAUUCGAUCGAUUUAUUGGAUUAAAAAAAAUGAGAUCCAGGUCCAGAUCCAUAAGAUCCACAGGGUUUGAGUCCUGCCCGAUCCAUUAUUUUUUCUCUUUAAAAUAAAUUUAUAAUAUUAAUUAACCAAAAUAAAAUCAUAAUUAUCGUUUAGAGUUUUACCAAUUAUCAAAAAUAAAUAAUUAAACCAUAAUCUAUAAAAGAAAUAUUAUAAAAAUUACAAAAUAAGUAAACAUAUAAUAAUCAAGCACUAAAUAAGUUAAGGUAUUGGAGGAGAUGCUACUGUGCGGGGCGGUGAAGAAGUUGGUGGCGCUGCUGCAUGUGGGCGGUGGACAGUCGACAACCAAGAGAUUGGGCGCGUGUGAGCUGACAAGGUGCAAGUCGGAUCCGAUGAGUACAAGGGCGGCUAAGCUGAUGCCGGAGGUGGAUUGCCGAAAUUUAAAAUAGAGAAAAAAGAAAAAGGGGGGGGGUGUUUGCGCCAAGGUCGAGAAUGGGGAGCUAAACGCUAUAGGGGCCUCUACUUUAGGGGUGGAUUUGCACCUUAACCCUUUAAGAAAAUUGUUAAAGUAGGUGUAAGUAGAGAGAGAAGUAAAUUUAUAGGGGUAGUGGUAAUAAGAAUUUUAAUUGCUUAAUCCUCUAUUAAUGGGUAAAGAAAUUCUGCAGAUUCCAAACAAAUUUAAAGUAGUAUUGAGCAAACAAUUUCAACGCAAACAAAAUUUUUAACAACAAAUUCAAACAAAUUCGAUUCAAGCAAGAAAUGAAUUUCAGCAACAAAUUCAAACAAGUUCAACAAAUCGAUUCCACUAACAAGUUUAGAAAAUUCCUAACAACAAAUUUCAGCAACAAAUUGAUUCCACUAACAAAUUUAAGAAAUCCUAGCAACAAAUUCAACAAAAAGAUUCCACCAACAUAUUUAGGAAAUUCCAGCAACAAAUUCAACCAUAGUUGUCGUCUGUUCGGACAGCGGGGGAGUCAAAGCUGGGGGCAGGCAGCCAUGGUUGCCGGAAUUUCUGAGACAACUAGCAAGGAAUUUUUUAGGGAGGUGGCAAUUUUGGGGAAGCGGCGAUUGAGGUUUUUAGGCUCAGAGGGAGGCGGCGAUUUGGGGUUUUGUCGUUGUUACCUGAGAACGACAACAACGGCAGCGGGUCCUCCUACGACUGCUGAUUGUUGCGUCGGAGAAAGGGCGGUCGGUUGUGGUGCUUUUCACCGGGGAAGAGAGGAGGGCCGCGCGGUGCAUGGGGCACCUCACCUUGAAAAAGGAGGCGACGAUUUGAGGGAGGAGACGCCUUAGGGUUUCGGACUCACAGGGAGGCAGCAAUUUGAAAGAGGCGACACCUUAGGGUUUCGGGCUCACAUGAAGGCGGCGAUUUGGGGUGUUGGCUCAGGGGGAGGUGGUGAUUUGUGGGAGGCGGGAGGCGGCGAUUUGAGGGACGCUUGCUUUGAAGGAGGCGGCGCCUUAAAGUGAAGAAAAAGAAGGAGUAAGGCGGCGAGAUCAGAGGUUGAGCUUUCAGACGAAGAAGAAGAAGAAGGUUGAGGCGUUGCUCCAGAUUUAGAAAAUAAGGUUUGAAUUGAGAAUUGAUAUUGAACGAGUGAAUAUUAGAAGUAAUCUUUAGGGGUUUUUUUAUUGCUAAUUAUGUUUGAUUAAGUUUAAGUGGAGAUAAUUUUAAUUAGUGAGGCGAGUCCUCCAAUGGCAAAUAAAGUAAAUACAUAAAGUCAUAAAGCGUAUAAUUGUAUAAAAAGUGAAACAAGACACUUUUUUGUGGAAAAAAAUGGGGAAUCAAGACUCUUUUUCGUGGACGGAUGGAGUAUAAAAGUGAUAAAGUAAGAGAGAUAAGAUAAUAAAAGUGAUAAAGUAGGAGGGAGAAACUAAUAAAAGUGAUAAAGUAGGAAAGAGAAGGUAAUAAUUAUUACCUUAUUUGGAAAUGUGUCAAAAUUCGUGGGACGGCCCAAAAAGGAAAACGUGUCAAGAUUCGUGGGACGGGGGGAGUAAUAUAUAAAGGAUAAUAUAUUGUGGAAUAGUGUCCAUAAAUAGAAAAUGAUUAUUUUUUGUGGACAACCCAAAAUGAAAAUUAGGACUAUUUUAGGGAGUACUUCCUUCGUCCUAAAAAAAUAGUCAUAGAAGAGGACGAUACGAAUUUUAAUAAAAAUGAUUAGAUGUAUUGUGAGUGGAAAAAGAGUAAUCCCAUUUAAAGGUAAUGUUAUAAUGAUCGAUUAAUUAGUUGUAUUAUAUGUGAAUACUUUGCUUGGUGGUGGUCGACCUCCUCCUCGAUUUUGGAGGUGUCGACAACUGGGUUUUGAGGUGAUCAUCAGUGUCUUUGUCAGCUCUUCGGUGCGCUAGGAGCUUGGCUUCGAUGGGACGGGCUUCGUCGGAUUUGCUCUUUCUUGCAUCAAUUUCUGGAGGGGCUGAUUUCUUGGGAUUGUAAUUCUUUUCUUUCCCCAUUUUUAUAUAAGACGAUCCACUUUUUUUUAUUUUUCCUCUAUUUUUCUUUUGGGUGGGAGGGUGGUUUUUGGUUUUUGGUUUAUUUUUCCUCUAUUUUUCUUUUGGGUGUUCGAGCUUAGUAUGAGGGUGACGAGCCGAGCUCGAUCAUCAAGAUAAAAGAUCGAAUCGAGCUCGAGCCGAGCUCGAACACCCGAAUAUUUAAACGAGCCGAGCUCGAGCCUGCUUGUAUUCGACUCGGCUCGGCUCGUUUACAGCCCUACUCAGGACCAUAAAUCCAUCCAACAGGAUUACGAAUCAACCGUAGAUCUUGAUGAUCUAAGGGCUGAAAAUGAUUCUUAUUUUAUAUCUUAAAAUGCUCUUAUUUUAGCCCUUCCCGUAUAUAUGGGAAAGUUCAAUGGAGACCACUCCCCUAGAUAGAGAAUGAAGACCAAAUCAUGUGCGUCGAUUCUAGAAUAUCCAACGGUCUUGAUUUGGCUGAAAAUUUUUAUAAUUUUCGUUUGUUUUAUUGCAUGAAGGUUAAGUUGGUCAUUUGAAUUUCUACAUAUCCGUUUUUAGCUCUAAUUACAUAUAAUCAAAUCUUUUAUUUAUGGAUAAUUAUUUUGAAGAUACGUUUGUUACAAAAAAAACAUGCAUUCACAUAAUAUUGUUUCUCGCCUCCUCUCCAAUCCCUCCUCCUCCUCCUGCUGUUCCGCCGCGUCCCCUCCAUCCCCCCUUCCUCGCCUCCUCCCCAAUCUCCGCCGGCUCCAGCGGAGGGUUCUCGAGGCUGUGUGCCCCGGGUCGUCAGGGAGAGGCCGACGAAGAGACAUGGUGAAGAGGGAGUUCACGUUCACCAGGCCGUAGGGCGGCACGUGGACGCUCGUGGUGGCGACCGCCGCGCCGCCCCGGAUUGCAAUCUGCAUAUCGACAAUGUUGUGUUCGUAGAAAAUAUUAAUGAACAUACUAAUGUUCGUCGUUAUGUUCGUAGAAAAACAAAUGAAAUACUAAUGUUCGUCGAUAUGUUCGUAGGAAAAAAAUGAGCAUACUAAUGUUCACCUAUUAUGUUCAUCGACGGAUCAUGUCCCAGAAUAGGAAGAGAGAAAUUUUUGAAAUUUGUUCAACGGAUCCCAGAAUCGUGGAUUUGAGUGGACAUAUUUUCCUUUUUGAAUUAAAUAAAUGUAAUUAACCAAUAUUUAAUUACAUGAAAAAUCAAAUCAUGAAAUUAUAAGAACCGUUGAUUGGAGUGAGAUGAACGACCUUGAUUUGGUCUUUAUUCUCUAUCUUGGGGAGUGGUUGUCAUAGAAUGCAACCAUAUAUAUAUAUUCGAGUAUAUUUAACCUUCACUCAGCCUAUGCCACGUCAGCAAGAAACGGUUAUGCAAUCUGUUAAAGGAGCAGUUAGCUUGGCGAAGAGAAGUUAGUUAAAUUGUUAUUAUGCAGUUUUUCAGCUGCAUUACAUGUAUAAAUAUAGUAGUGAAUUAUAUCUUGUAAAUUAGUUCUUUAAUAAUCAUCAAUGAAGAUAUUUUCUACGCAAUUCUUUCUUUAUUCUCUCUCAAACCUCAGCUGAGAUUAUCUCAACAUGGUAUCGAGCUUGAGUGAUUUUUGAGGAGAUAGAUCUGUAUCUUUCUCAUCAAGUUUAUUUUUUCUAGAUCCAGACCUUUCACGGAGUCUGCUACAUCAUCCUCUGCGCAAUUCAGUCUACCAAAUAUCCAUCCCAUGGUAUUGCGACUCGAUCGAAACAAUUACACCUUCUGGAGAAUUCAAAUUCUCACCACUAUACGAGCCCAUGGAUUUGAUGAAUUCAUUUCAUCAAACACUGUUUCUCCAUCUCCUUUUCUGCCUUCAUCUUCCUCUAUUGCGAUUCGUGAGCCGAAUCCGGAGUAUCAACAGUGGAUCCGCAAGGAUCACUUCAUUAUAAGCUGGAUCCUAGCAUCGAUCGGCAAAACAAUGCUAGAUCACGUGGUUCGAUGUCAAUCCGUGAAGGACAUCUGGAAUGUUCUCGAGUAACUAUUUCACUCUCAAUCUCGAGCUAGAGUGCUACAAUUGAAGAAGAUGCUUCACACUCAAAAGAAAGGAUCUCUCUCCGUCGAUGACUACUUUCUCACAAUGAGAGGAUAUGUUGAUCAAUUAAAUGCAGCAGGAUGCUACAUUACUGAUGAUGAGCUCGGCGAUUCGAUCUAAAACCCCCUACAUUCACAUGAAAUUCGUCUGCAACAACACUCUUAUGCCAUCACAGAUCUGAUGGUUCACUAUGCUCAAAGAGGAGGCCGCGGUGCUCGUGGAAGAGGCAACUCUCGAGCCUCUGGCAAAUCACAGAUCAUAUGUCAAUUGUGCAGGGUGCAGCAAGCCAGGCCAUGUCGCUUUGAAGUGUUUUAAGCGUUUUCAUGUUCAUUUUACUGGUCCUGAUAAUGCAUCUAACCAUAAAGCAUAUCUUGUUGAUUCUCAGCAGUUUUCUGACUAUGAUUAGGAUGAGGAGGACAACUCUUAGUAUGUGGAUAGUGGUGAAACCAAUCACAUCACAAAUAACUUGAGUAAUAUGCAGAUUCAAGCCUCCUACAUUGGUUCAGAGAGUCUUACAGUGGGUAAUGGUAAGUCCAUUCCAAUUACUUCAGUUGGUACCUCCCUUAUUCCUUCAUCACCCACUCAUUCUUUUCUCCUAAAUCAGAUCCUAUUUGUUCCUCAAAUAACAAAAAAUUUGAUAUUCAUAUCUCAAUUUACUAAGGAUAACAAUGUUAUCUUUGAGUUUCACAGUUCUUGUUGUCUUGUGAAUGACAAGAAAACACACCAAGUCCUACUGAAAGGGAAUCUGCACAAGGGGCUCUACAAGCUUGAUCUUUCACAACUCUGCCUCCGGUUUGCUUCCUCACCUAUUACUGUUGUUUCAUCAUCUUCCACAUUGAGUACUCCUGAUUGCUAUCAUGUAUCUACUAUUGCUUCAUGCUCUACUAUACAGCCUAGUACUACAUCUCCCUCCUGUACACCUGCUCCUACUUGUAAAAUUUCAGAUUCUCUUGGCAAUAAAAUGAAUAUUUGGCAUCAACGUUUGGGGCAUCCUAAUUUUGCUGUUCUGUCUCAUGUUCUUAAAUUUCAACAUGUAUCUGCAAAUGAAUCAUCUAUUAGUUUGUGCAAUGCUUGUAGUAUAGGUAAGCUCCACCGUCCAACCUCUCAAAACCACCAAGCCUUUUCAGUUAAUACAUUAAGAUCUCUGGGGUCCUGCUCAUACUUCUACUCUACAAGGUUAUAGAUAUUAUAUACACUUUGUUGAUGAUUUUAGUAGGUAUACUUGGAUCUAUCAUGUUAAACUAAAGUCUGACACUUAUAACAUAGUUAAGCAGUUUUUUGCUAUGGUUUAAACCCAAUUCUCUACCACUAUAAAAGCCCUCCAAAAUGACUGGGGUGGGGAGUAUAAAAAGCUUACUUCAUUUCUUAAAAACUUGGGAGUUCAUCAUUAGCACUCUUGCCCUCACAUUCACUCCCAAAAUGGAAAGGCCGAGAGAAAACAUCAACAAAUAGUCGAUGUAGGGCUUACCCUAUUAAACAAAGCCUCCAUUCCACUUGAAUACUGGUGGUAUGCAUUCUCUACAGCUACAUAUCUCAUAAAUCGUCUGCCUUCACCCUCCAUCCAAAUGAACUCUCCCUACUUAGCUCUAUUUGGAAAAUUACCUGAUUAUUCCUCUAUUCAUGUUUUUGGGUGUGCUUGUUUUCCAUAUCUUAAACCAUAUAAUACCCACAAACUUGAAUUUCGAUUAAGAAAAUGUAUCUUUGUAGGCUAUAGCCCCAACCAUAAAGGCUACAAAUGUUUAGACUCUAAUGGUAGGCUUUUCAUUGCUGAUACUGUAAAAUUUAAUGAACAUGAGUUUCCAUUUACAGAAAUGUACCCUACUUCUCAAGAAGGCUCUCACUACAUCACCUUACCUACUAUUUCUCCUACUCUCCUACCUAAUACUCCCAUACCAUCACCACAUCCUACUCCUGCUGCUUCACCGGUAGUCCACACCUCUCCUGUCCAACAAAAUUCUCCACUAAAUCCUACAGCAGCUUCUUCUAACACUCCACCGCCAUUUCCACUACACCAUCAUUUCCCUACUCCAUCUGCCUUCUCACAUUCAUCAUCUACUUCCACACCUAACACAUCUACCUCUUUCUCUGAGUCUCCACCACUUGCCCCUCCCCCCUUAACACUCAUGGUAUGCUUACACGAUCUAAACUAGGAAUCUUUAAACCUAUGGUAUACAUAGCUCUUCUCGAUCAUCCACCAUUUUCUAUUCCUCAAUCUUCCAUUCCAAACUUACCUAACACACUGGAAGAAGCUCUGUCCCACCAAGGGUGGUUUGCUGCUAUGGAAAAAGAGUUCAAUGCUCAGCUUAGAAAAGGUACGUGGAGUCUCAUACCCCCUGAUCUAAAUCAAAAGGUCAUAAGUAACAAAUGGAUCUUUCGGGUCAAGCUUAAUCCAGACUAUACGUUGGAUAAACUCAAGGCUCGCUUGGUUGCUCGUUGGUUUGAGCAAUUGGCCGGUGUGGAUUUUGUGGAGACUUUCAGUUCGGUGGUAAAGCCUUCUACCAUUAGGCUUGUUUUCUCUCUUGCUGCUAUAAAGGGGUGGGCUGUAAGGCAAAUUGAUGUGAAUAAUAUAUUUUUAAACGAUAAUUUAACUGACACUAUAUACAUGGCCCAACCUGCAGGAUUUGAAGAUAAGGAUCAUCCUUCUUAUGUGUGCAAAUUGGAAAAGGCCUUAUAUGGAUUGAAGCAGCCACCUCGCGCCUGGUAUGAUGAACUGAGGAAAGAGAUUUAUCAGUUGGGAUUUCAGUGAUCAGAAUCAGACUUCUCCCUUUUUAUCAUAAAUAAAGUUACUCUCUUACUCUCAUCCUUGUUUAUGUAGAUGAUAUACUAAUCACCGGCGAUGAUCCAUCGAUUGUUCAGUCAGUGGUUGAUACUUUGCAUGAGAAAUUUUUCGCCAAGGAUAUGGUUCUUGUUCAUUAUUUCUUGGGUAUCGAAGUACAUCACAAUGCAAGCACCUUCACUUUAUGUCAGCAUAAAUACAUUAAUGAGCUUUUGGUUAAAACCAAAAUGCUUGCUUGCAAGCCUUGCCGAACACCCAUGACUCCUGCCACCAAGCUUUCAAAAUCUGAUGGGGUCCCCUUUGAUGACCCUACCCUUUACAGAAGUACUAUCGGUGCUUUGCAAUAUUUGACACUAACAAGGCCGGACNAGGGUGAUUCUAUUCAUAGCCCCCAUUUUACUCUUUAUAGCCUUUUAUUUAAUAAAUAUUAAAUUAUUAAUAUAUGUACUAUUUUAUCCUUAUAGCCCCUAAUUUAAUCUGCAUAUAAAUUCAUGAUCAUAAGCUGAAUUCAUGAUUGCUAUCAUGUAUCUACUAUUGCUUCAUGCUCUACUUUACAGCCUAGUACUACAUCUUCCUCCUGUACACCUGCUCCUACUUGUAAAAUUUUAGAUUCUCAUGGCAAUAAAAUGAAUAUUUGGCAUCAACUUUUGGGGCAUCCUAAUUUUGUUGUUCUUUCUCAUGUUCUUAAAUUACAACAUGUAUCUGCAAAUGAAUCCUCAAUUAGUUUGUGCAAUGCUUGUAGUAUAGGUAAGCUCCAUCAAUGACCCCAUGUUACCCAACCUCUCAAAACCACCAAGCCUUUCAAGUUAAUACAUUCAGAUCUCUGGGGCCCUGCUCAUACCUCUACUCCACAAGGUUAUAGAUAUUAUAUACACUUUGUUGAUGAUUUUAGUAGGUAUACUUGGAUCUAUCCUGUUAAACUAAAGUCUGACACUUAUAACAUAGUAAAGCAGUUUUUUGCUAUGGUUUAAACCCAAUUCUCUACCACUAUAAAAGCCCUCCAAACUGACUGGGGUGGGGAGUAUAGAAAGCUUACUUCAUUUCUUAAAGACUUGGGAGUUCGUCAUUAGCACUCUUGGACAUUCACUCCCAAAAUGGAAAGGCCGAGAGAAAACAUCAACAAAUAGUCGAUGUAGGGCUUACCCUAUUAAACAAAGCCUUCAUUCCACUCGAAUACUGGUGGUAUGCAUUCUCUACAGCUACAUAUCUCAUAAAUCGUCUGCCUUCACCCUCCAUCCAAAUGAACUCUCCCUACUUAGCUCUAUUUGGAAAAUUACCUGAUUAUUCCUCUAUUCAUGUUUUUUGGUGUGCUUGUUUUCCAUAUCUUAAACCAUAUAAUACCCACAAACUUGAAUUUCGAUCAAGAAAAUGUAUCUUUGUAGGCUAUAGCCCUAACCAUAAAGGCUACAAAUGUUUAGACUCUAAUGGUAGGCUUUUCAUUGCUGAUACUGUAAAAUUUAAUGAACAUGAGUUUCCAUUUACAGAAUGUACCCUACUUCUGAAGAAGGCUCUCACUACAUCACCUUACCUACUAUUCCUCAUACUCUCCUACCUAAUACUCCCAUACCAUCACCACAUCCUACUCCUGCUGCUUCACCAGUAGUCCACACCUCUCAUGUCCAACAAAACUCUCCACUAAAUCCUACAGCAGCUUCUUCUAACACUCCACCGCCAUCUCCACUACACCAUCAUUUCCCUACUCCAUCUGCCUUCUCACAUUCCUCAUCUACUUCCACACCUAACACACUACCUCUUCUCUGAGUCUCCACCACUGCCCCCCUCCCCCCCCCCCUUAACACUCAUGGUAUGCUUACACGAUCUAAACUAGGAAUCUUUAAACUUAUGGUAUACAUAGCUCUUCUCGAUCAUCCACGAUUUUCUAUUCCUCAAUCUUCCAUUCCAAACUUACCUAACACACUGGAAGAAGCUCUGUCCCACCAAGGUGGUUUGCUGCUAUGGAAAAAGAGUUCAAUGCUCAGCUUAGAAAAUGUACGUGGGGUCUCAUACCCCCUGAUCCAAAUCAGAAGGUCAUAAGUAACAAAUGAAACCACCUUCACUCUAUGUCACAAUAAAUACAUUAAUGAGCUUUUGGUUAAAACCAAAAUGCUUGAUUGCAAGCCUUGCCGAACACCUGUAAUUCCUGCCACCAAGCUUUCAAAAUCUGAUGGGGUCCCAUUUGAUGACCCCACCCUCUACAGAAGUACUAUCGGUGCUUUGCAAUAUUUGACACUAACAAGGCCGGACAUUGCCUUCAGUGUAAACAAACUGAGUCAGUUUCUCACCUCUCCCUCUCUUGUUCACUGGAAUGCUUGCAAACAUCUGCUGCGUUAUCUAAAAGGAACAGCUCAUCUCAAGCUUCAAUUUCAGCCUUCUUCUUCAUCCAUGAUUGAAUGAUAUUCUGAUGCGGAUUGGGCAAGCUGCUCUGAUGACCGACGAUCCACAAGGGGUCAUUGCAUUUUCUUGGGAUCAAAUCUCGUCACAUGGUCCGCCAAGAAGCAGGAGGUUGUGUCUCGUAGCAAUCCAGAAUCAGAAUAUCGAAGUAUGGCGAAUGCCACAACAGAUAUUGUGUGGUUAAAGAGUCUAUGUGUUGAGCUUAGUCUUUCUCUUCAUUCCCCACAUUGUCUUUGGUGUGACAACGCUAGUGCACUUGCAUUAGCUAAUAACCCUGUGUUUCAUGCGAGGACUAAACACAUAGAAGUCGACGUCCAUUAUAUACAGCAAAAGAUUGCUGAUAACACAAUUGAAGUAGGUCAUGUUCCUUCAUCUGACCAGAUUGCCGAUGUGUUUACUAAACCCUUGGCUGAGACCAGAUUUUGUCUUCUUCGUGAUCGUUUAAAUCUUGUUGGUGGUGAUAGUGGCUAGGAUUUUUGGGGGCGUAUUCGAGUAUAUUUAACCUUCACUCAGCCUAUGCCACGUCAGCAAGAAACGGUUAUGCAAUCUGUUAAAGGAGCAGUUAGCUAGGCGAAGAGAAGUCAGUUAAAUUGUUAUUAUGCAAUUUUUCAGCUGCAUUACAUGUAUAAAUAUAAUAGUGAAUUAUAUCUUGUAAAUCAGUUUUUUAAUGAUCAUUAAUGAAUAUAUUUUCUACGCAAUUCUUUCCUUAUUUUCUCUCAAACCUCAGCUGAGAUUAUCUCAACAAUAAAUAAAAAGGAAUAUUUUUUUAUAUGAAAAUACUAAGAUAAGAAAAAUGAACUAUAUAUUUUCAAGGAAAAUACGAAAGUAGAAGUUUUCAUCAAUCACUAUUUCUUUCACCAUAAUGACAUUUUGUACCCAUUUAUUAUUUUGUAUAUAUAGACUAAUUUGACUGUUAUAUUUUGUAGCAUCUGCAUGCUCACUUGAUUUCUCGAGGCGACCUGGUAUUCCAUUACUGUAUUUUUUUUCUUCAUUUAAAAUUUAAAUUGGAGUAUUUUAAUUAAUUCGUUCCAAAGAUAGCAAAAGUUGAGAAAAUAAAAUUCGCAUUAAAGAAAUGUUGUUGAUGGAUUCAAACGUCACAUAUUCAUCACAAAAUGUAAAUAUCCAAUCAACCACUAGAUACAGGGGGAACAAAACAAAAGGCAAAAACUAAUGAGUUUAAUUAUUGUUAAUAUGGUUAAUUUUUUAAAAUAGUGCUAAAAACUAUUUUUAGUUUUAGGUGUAAAGGAUUUUGUAGGUUUUUCUUUUCUUUUCUUCAAUACUAUCACAAUUGAUUUUUUUUUUACGAGUGAACAAAUCAUUUUAAAAAUUUAUAUGACAGUAGACUCAAAUCUGAAACCUUUAACCUCAUGCGUUAAUUAUUCUAUCACAUGAUCAAAAUAAAAAUUAAUCGUUGUGAUUGUUUUCCGAAAAUUGAUACUGUAAUUGGUUGUUAAAAUGGCUCAUGGUGUGUAAAGGAUUUUGAAAUGUUCCUUUUUUUUUCAAUAAUAUUGUAAUUGAUUGUUUUUUGUGAAUGAAUAAAUGAUUUUAAAAAUCUUACAAUAGUAAAAUCAAAUUUAAAAUAUUUUACCUCAAAUAUUAAUCAUUCUACCAUUAGAUCAAUACUGAAAACAAUCUUCGUGUUUAAUCACAAAAAUCAAUCUUUGAUAAAAAGAAAAAAAAAAUAGUUGAUACCGUAAUUGGCCCAAUUAAAUAAAAAAAUAUGUUUAAACUAAAAGGCAAUAAUAUAACAGUUGUUUCUUUAAUAAAAACAGGUAGGGUUACAGAGAAGAUGGAGGAAUUGUAGCCAAAGCUUACCUUGAAGUGGCAGAGCACUGGAUUGAGGUCUCUGCUCUCCCAAAGUUUCUAAGUGUGGAAAGGAGGAGAGUGGCGAAUUGGAGUUGAAGUGUGAGGCUAAAGGAGGAGCUGUUGCUACACACUUGAGUGUGCUAGUAUAAGCUGCAGAGAUAGGGUGACUGAUGUAUGAGUUAGAUGGGAUGGGUAGGGGUGGCUGAAUGACUCCUGCUGUACUUGGCAACAGAGGAUAAGGGUGGAAAGAGGCUGCCCUCUUGCAGCUCACGCUUCCCACUUCCCUUUUUCUCUUUCUUGUGUACUUGCUAGAUUAUGGUGUUAGGAAAUAUGAAUGAAAGUUGAUUGUGAGAAAAAGGUUGCAAAGUUUGAGAAUGAGAUUGUGGUGAAUAAAUGAAGUAUAUUCUUAUGUCUCGGUGAUUCUGUACUUGUAUAUGAAUCGCGUGCUCGUAUCUGCUUGAUACUGUCUAUUUAAUAAAUCUCGUAUUUCGACAUAUGAUUUCCUGCCUCGCCAGGAUCGAUAGAUUGUAAAAUGAAUCUAAAUUAAAUCCGUAGAUUUAAUUCAUUCGUCGCUCUGCUCUCUAAAUUAAAUCCGCAGAUUUAAUUAACUUCACGAGUCAGAAAUAAUUCACGACUUAAGUAAUUAUAUAAAUAACAGGAUCAAUAGUUCCAUCACGCUUAAUAGAUAACAUGACUUCGCUAAGUCAGUUAUAACUUUGAAAAACAUCAGACUGCUUCAAUAAUAUAAAUUCAGGAUCAUAAGCUGAAUUCAUAUCAGGAUAAUAAUCGGGUUUCAUUCACUGAUGAUAAAUUAAUAAUCACGCAUUACUGGGUUUAAUAUAUAUAUAAAAGCGGGUCAUUACAACGUUGCUACACAGACAAAUAAUCUAGCCACCCAGGCAUAGAACCAUUCACAACAUUGCCACACAUACAAAUAAUCCAGCCACACAGGCAUAGAACAAUUCUCCACAUUUGCCACACAGGCAAAUGAUCCAGCCACCCAGGCAUGGAACCAUUCACAACAUUGCCACACAGACAAAUAAUCCAGCCACCCAGGCAUGAAAUAAUAAUAACCGAUUGGCUCAACUGUGCACAGGACCCUGUCAUACCCGUCGUCCACAAAUCAGUGACUCACCGUCACGCUACCAUAAGCACCAAUGCGCAUGCUCACCGUUCAUAAACAAAUUUAAUUCACGUGACAAUUGAAACAUAUUUAUUGAGUUAGAAGAAAAUUCACCCACCUCUAAUCAAGCACAACAGAAGAAACUCAAUCAAUUCUCAAACGAGGGUCCUAAUCGCGCCGCACCUAAUUAAAUAAAUACAAUAAUUUUAUAAGGCCUAAGUAUCAAUCUUAAAUAAAAGUGUGAAAUAAGAUUCAAUGAUUUAUAAAACCCGAACUUUCUGAAGAAAAUUACAUUUAACAAAUUUAUUGUAAUACUGAUACUAAUUUAUACAAUAAGUAAAAAAAAAAACUUUAGCUCGUAAUGAAGUAAUCUCAAUCAGAAUACUCUGAUCACCUGAUUUAAACUUAUAUGUGUAUACAUAUGUAUCUAAUUAACGUCAAUAAAAAUACCACUAAACAACUAUUCUUAAUUAGCGUAAUUAACACAUAAAAUAAACAAUGAUAGAAAUCAUAUACAAAUUCUAGGUAAUCCAUUUACUCAAAUUCCCAAACUAAUAUAAUUAUUAAUAAUACUUUACCAUNCAAUACUAAAAACAAUCUUCGUGUUUAAUCACAAAAACCAAUCUUUGAUAAAAAGAAAAAAAAAAUUACUUGAUACCGUAAUUGGCCCAAUUAAAUAAAAAAAUAUGUUUAAACUAAAAGGCAACUGCUGCCGAGUAGAUCCCAUUAAUACGAGAGAGAGGCCCAACACUGGAGCCCGACCCGAAAUCCGCUUUCUUGGGCCGGGCCCAGGCAAUAAUGGGCUACAUCUGUAGAGCGUCAGUUUUAGGGUGAUUCUAUUCAUAGCCCUCAUUUUACUCUUUAUAGCCAUUUAUUUAAUAAAAUAUUAAAAUUAUUAAUAUAUAUAUAUAUACUAUUUUAUCCUUAUAGCCCCAAUCUAAUUUACAUAUGACUUCAUCCGGAGCCCUAAAAAUCUAAAGGAAGAACAUGUUGCGAUUUAAUUACAAAUUCUUCGAAGACUUCAAAGACAAAUUCUUCAAGACUUCAUUUAGGAGUCUGAUUCUUAUUCCUCUGUCUCACAGUUACUGCCUAAUUAAAGAGAGAGAAUCACACAACAAAUUUACUCUGGAAAGAUGAAGGUGCUUGAGGCAUGGAAAAAUUUUAUGCCAAGUACAUAUCGUCUUGCAGUUGCAGGUUGAUGAUUCAUGAAAUUUCAAAUUUAUGUGGGCUUAAAAUUAGUUCCUUGCAUUUUGCUUAAAUACUCCUUUGAAACUAGUAGUAGUAUUUAUUUGUGUUUGUUUUGGAUGAUGGAGGGGACACACAAAAAGGCAAUCUGCUUUGGUGGUUGAUGUAUCCCGAUGAUAAUUUCCUUUCAUAUCUGUUAAAGAUGAUAAAAUUUUGAAAUUUGUGGGGAAAUAAACUAAAAAAAUGUUGCUGCAAUUUUAAUCCAACGUAUUCUGAAAUAGAAAGAAGAAAAAUAUUGCUGCAAUUUUUAGAAUUAAAUCCCAGCGUGUUCUGCUUAAGGAUGGCAACAGGCCGGAUCUGGACCGGAUCUCAUCAAUACCAGAUCCAGAUCCAGAUCCGUUUUCAUCUAUCAGAUCCGGACAAAUCUGAAAAUUUUGGAUCCAGAUCCGCCAGAUCUGCGGAUCCGUGGGUCCAGAUGCAUGGAUCUAUUGUUUUAAAAUUAAAUUAAAAAAAAUCACAAAAUUGACAACAUCUAAUUUUCAUCACAAAAGCAUUCUGCCGAAUCUAACAAAAGUUUUAAAAAGGAAGAAGCUAUCGAAUAAUAAUAAUCAAAUCAACUUAUCUAAUAUAAUCAACAUUGACAAAACAUGACUCACCAGUCACCAACAUUAACAAAAUCAACUUAUCUAAUAAUCAUAAUCAACUUUUGACAAAAUAAAAAACUAACCUAAGACAAAAUUUCAAUUUCAGAAUCAAAUCAAAAUGCACAUUUUUUUAAUUUAUAACCUUUGAUUCAGAGAAUCCUGUGGUAGACAUUGACAUGGCUAAACGACGGCGGCGGUGGAGUCUGGGGGCGACGGACGCAGCGGCGGCCGAGAUGAAAUGGCAGCACGCAGAGUCGCACCGGCGAACUGGAGAAGGUCGAAGGUGGCGGCGAACUGGGAGUGCUCCAAGAGAUCCGAGAAGGUGGCCGGCGAGCUGGAGCUGGAGUGGUCCGAGAAGGGAAAGAGGGGCGGCGGGCAAACUGGAGAAGGAUGGGCGUAUGCCGCGUGUGCUGCAGCUGCUGCUGUCCCCGCCUUUGCCAGCGGCGGGCGGGAGAGUGACUCAGGCGGCGGGCGAGUGAGGGAGAUUGAGAGAGGAACCGAGAGAGGUUAGAGCCUAGAGGAGAAUUAUUAGAAUUGGAAACUAGGGUUUCAAUUUUCAAAGUUAUUCUAAUUUUUUUAUUAUUUUUAAUUUUUAAUAUAUCUAAUACUAUUAAUAAAAUAAAUAUAAAAAAUAAAUAAUAUAUUUUAAAAAAAAAUCGGAUCCACGGGUCGGAUCUGGGUCAAAUCCGGAUCUCAAAUUUCAAGAUCUAGAUUCAGAUCCGUUUUAGAAAAUGAGAUCCAGAUCCGCANNNNNNNNNNNNNNNNNNNNNNNNNNNNNNNNNNNNNNNNNNNNNNNNNNNNNNNNNNNNNNNNNNNNNNNNNNNNNNNNNNNNNNCCGGCCUUAAUUAAGGAUAAUUAAUCCGGGAAAACCAUGACUGGGGAAGGGAAAUUAAGAAGCGGGUUUAGAAAGGGGUCCAUAAAAGAAUACUCAAAGAGCUUGAAUACGCGUGAAAUAUUCCUUAAAAAGGAAAAAGGCAUCGUUACGGGCUUGGCUAAAACAUUAUCAGAGUUUGCAACGGAAGGCGUAACUGAAAUAAUCAGUGUUUACAGCGGAAUGCAUAACUGAGAUACAUGUAUGAAGACAUGUAUCCUUUCUGAGCCUACUUUAAGUUCGACAAAAGCUUCACUCAGCAAUACUUCAUCGCCCAUUACAACUCAACCUGCACAAACAUAAACAUACGAAGGGCUGAGUACAAGAGUACUCAGUGGGCAGUGCCAAGCAUAUAACAUAAUAUCAACAACAAAACACAACUUCGCAUAAGAGGUACGAGUUUCUUUCAUAUCCUUUGUUCAUUAAACAUUUCCAAAAUUCAUAAAUAGCAUAAGGGCAUUCUUCAUCAUCAAUCUUCAUUAACAAACAUCGUGUCGUGGAGAAGGCCUUCCCCAACGAACACGGGCAUCGCACCGUGAGGGGGAGCCUCCCUCAGCGGUCACGGCAUCGUACUAUUGAGGGAGGCCUCCCCCAAUAGACGCUGUAACACUGACAUACUGGCAUACUGGCAUACUGGCAUCGCGCCGCUAGGGAGGCCUCCCUCAGCGGACACGGGCAUCGCGCCGUGAGGAAGGCCCUCCUCAGCGGACACGGCAUCGUACUGUUGAGGGAGGCCUCCCCCAACAGACGCAAGCAUCAAUCAUAAGCAUAAACCUAUCAGCGUAAAGCAUUCAAGCGUAAAUAAGCGUAAAUUACAUAGGCGUAAAUAGUAUAAAUAGCAUAGCGUAAAUCAUUUAACGUGCAGCAUAAUAAAGCUUAACUCAUUUAAGCGUAAUAAAGCAUACCACACUUGAAGAUCCAAUUUGCAUUUUAAAGCAUAACACUUGCAUAGCAUUUUAUUUACGCGUAAGAAAUUGCCCACCUGAUAGCAAAGUUUUGCUAAGGUACUGUGACUCUUUGAGAAAUUCUUACUCUCGCGCUUGACCUUAAUCACGAGAAUGUAAAAUAAGACAUUGCCUCGAGGAAAAUUCUCAAUUAAUGAGAAAGCGUAAAAUAAAUAUGCAUGACUCUCUUAUGCAUGAUUUAUUAUUCCGGCUUAAUUGUCCGGGAAAUCUACUAUUAAUCUUAACUCUCGGAUUAAAUAAAUUAAAUAACUUAAAUAAGACUCGUCGCAUGAGGUUGGAUAAAUGACCAUAAUUAGUCCGUAAAUCGCAAGGUGUUCUAACCCACGUAAAUAGAUCUCGCCCUAUUUAAUCGAAAAAGAAGGGGAAUAGCUAAAUCCGAUUACUCGUGCAAUAGUCCCAUAAUAAUUUAUCCAUAAAUAAAAAUAAAUGGAUUUAAUUAAUCGAUUAAUCAGGGCCAAUCAUUGUUUGGGCUGAACUAAAUAUGGAAGGAAUAAUAGCAAUAAUAAUAAUUCAUUGAUUAAAAGGCUCAAACAUAAGACAGCCUAAUAAUUAGAUAAGUAAAAGUGAGCUUGAAUAAAUAAAUAAUGGCAGCCCACUAUUAUUUACAUUUGCAGCCCAAAUAAAAAUAAUAAUGGCUCGAGUGAAUGAAUCAGAUAAUUGGACUGAAUAAUUAAAUAAAUCUGGCUCAAUCAAUAAAUCUGGUCUGAAUAAUUAAUCCAUAAUGAAUCAAUUAAGGGCAACUCAUAUAAUUAAUAUGAAUUUGGGCCGGAUUAAAAAUAGUAGCCCAUUUACUGAAUAAAAUAGUUGGGCUUAAAUAAAUCAAAUAUAAUUGGCCCAGUAAAAUAAUUAAGGAAGAGGCCCAAAACCAUUUAAACACAAGCCCAAUCUUUUAAAACAAUUGAAGCCCAAACUUUAAAAAAUGAUUCGGCCCAAAUAUCAUAAGGAAAUGGCCCAGUUCGAAUUUACUAUAUGGAAGCCCAAAACAAUUAAAAUUAUGAGGCUCACAUAAAUAAAUAAAAGAAAAGCCCACAUCUUAAAAUUAAACCAAGCCCAAAUCCUUAAAACAACUCAAGCCCAAAGAUUAAACCAAGCCCAAAUCCUUAAAACAAAUCAAGCCCAAAGAUGGGAGCCCAGUUAGCAAUUAAACCCUUCUCUCUCUUAUACCUCACGCCUCUCUCUCAUUUCUUUCUUUCUCUCACCAAACUCACGCAAACACAGCCGCGCGGCUCAUCUCCCUCCCUUCUCACGCGAUCUGCCGCCGCCGCCUGAGACCCGCGAAGCAUCCGGCGCAACCGCCGCCGACAGAUGUUGCUGUUGCCGCUGUUGUCUGAAAUCGGUGGUCAGUGGCUCGCUCUCUGCUGCUGAAAUUCCGGCGAGGUCGACACUUAUCGACUUGCAUCGUCUCUUCCUUGGCUGUUCAGCGGCCGUCGGUUCUGGUCUGGAGCCGGUCGCCCUUUUCUCCUCUUCUUUUCUCGUUCUUCCUUUCAGCGCGGCUGGGAAGAAGCCCUAUGCUUCCCGUUCAGCCGACCUCUGCCGUCGUUUUUCCACAAUCUGCGAGUGGCGGGGAGAAGCUUGCUGCCUCCGGUGAUUCUCUCCUCCGGCGACUGGAGUAAGAAGGCCUACGCCUCUCACCGCGCCGCUGCUGCCCCUUGGACCGUUGCUGCUGCGCACAAGUUUCAGCUCGUCGCCGGGUAGCUGCUGUUCGGGGCCCUGAUGAGGUUGGGCGAGUUCGCCCUGUCCCGACCGUCGUCGUCGUCCCCGUCGGGCUGUCAGCCCUUCUUUCCGAUGCAGGCGAGAGUUCGCCGUUGCAUUGGGCUCGUCCGAACAGGCAGCCGGCACUAUAUCUUAAGGCUAAGUCCUAAAUCCUUCUGUUCUAGUUUCUAUUUUGUUAAAGGCAGAGGUUCUCAAGCUUUUGUUGUUCUAGAGUGUAGUAGGAUGAAAAGCACAAGUCUUAACGUGGACUGUCUGAUAUAUUGGUGGAACAUGAUUAUGCAUAUGUGAUUUACUAUAUCCCUCUGUAAUACGAAACUGAUCAUGUAGUUGUUUCUAUAUCAUAGGAGUUCUUACUGACUUCGUGAUUGCUAAGACCCUUAUGCAUAUAUACUCAUUAUAUACUUAGUAUUCAUUAACUGAUCAUGCUUGUUGGAUGAAAUGCAAAUGGAAUUCGAAUGAAAGGAGCUUAGUAUAUACCGGUAAUUGUUUGUUGUUGAUGGCUGCUGUUGUUGAUUGAAUCAGUGGAUAGAUACACUUGAAUGUUGGCAGCAGCUUAAUGAAUUCUCCUCACUUUGGUGGCUGAAGGAACAUAGAAUGAAGGCAAGGAGUGUUGGCUAGUAGCCUUAAAGAAUCGAAGAUGGUGGAGGUGGUGGUUGAAAAGGUAGGGAGCAAAGGGUGGUGGGCUGAGGGAGCACACUUAUUAUUCAUUCCACUAACUUUGCAACAUUUUUUUAAAACUAUCUCUCUUUCUCGGUGGAACGUUGUUGAAGUGGAGAUAGCUGUCAUAAGGUGGCUUACUUUCCAUCCCCUGUGUGCCUUGACAUGAUUAAAGGGAUGGGAAAGUUGCUGGAAAGCUGCUGUUGUAGCUAUUUUACACACACAUAGUACACGUUUGGUUUGCUUUCUUGAUGUAGUAGGUAGAAAAUAGGGAUGCAAAGAAUAAUAAGUUGUAAAGUUGUGAUGUGAUAAAUAAAAUCCUCAUUCUGUAUUUGUAAUACUAAUUUCGGGUUCCCAUAUAACGAAGCUUCGUUAUAACUCUAUACGAAUUACAUAUUAUAUAACUUGUUUUAUAAGUCGAAAAUUAAUCACGACUUCAAGUAAAUAAUAGAAAUAAUAUUUCUAUUGCACUUAAUAAAUAAUAUGACUUUGCUAAGUUAGUUAUAAUAUGAAAUAAUAAUUAUUGAUUGCUCAAUAAUUCUCAUCGUGUUUUUCUCAUGCGUUACAAAAGUAUAAAGCUUAAAAUAAUAACUCCAUUUCUGAUAAAAAAAAAAUCAGGACCAUAAACUGGAUUCAUUUAUAUAUAAAAAAUUACAUUUACUAGUUUUAAUCAUAAUUAAAAGAGCGGGCUACUACAUACUACCCCUCUUAACAAAAAUUUCGUCCCGAAAUUUGCAUAUCUCUGCUAAAACAGUUCGGGUAUUUUUUUUUUUCAUCUUGUCUUCAAUUUCCCGCGUAGCUUCUCUUGUCUGCGGUGUCUCCAUAAGAUUUUCACUGAUGUGAUUGAGGCUGAUUUCGCAAGUAUCCACGUAUUGCUGGCAAAGGGGUGCGGGUGUUUCCAAUUGCUGAACCUCGUUGUCUGUUGGGGCAUUGCGUGGAGUAGUGACCCUUUUGGCCACAAUUGUAACAACCGUUAGUCCCAGAUCGACAAACGCUCCUAUGCAUCUUACCACAAUUUGGGCAAGGUGAAAUUCCUCUCUGACUUUGGCUAUCCCCAGUUGGCUCGAGGUUAGUCUGUGCCUCGUACCUUGGUUGAUAACUGUUCGCCGUUCUUUCUUGCCACACUUUCUUACUAGUCUGAUUGAUAUUGUCUUCGUUGUUGUCCCACUUGCGCUUCCCUUUGAGAGUAUGUGAGGCUACUGGUGGAUCGUUUGGCGUUGAGAUCAACAAUGGGGCUGAUUUGUCCGACGGCAUUGCAGCUUCAACGUCAAGUGCCCUGUUCAGAGACUCCGUGUAUGAGAGUCCUCCGUGGCUUGCUAGAGUCAUCCUAAUUUCGUGUCGCAGACCGGCACAAAAUUUCUCUGCCAUCUUCUCAUCUGUGUCCACUUGUUGCGGAGCAAACCUAGACAGGUUGCAGAAUUCCUUGUCGUAUUCAACCACAGAUUUCUUUCCUUGCUUCAACUCGUAGAACUCAGCUUCUUUCUUCUUCCUAUAGCUUUUCGGAAUAUAUUUAUCAUAUAAUCCUGUCUUAAAAUCUUCCCAAGUAUAACUUGCCCAUUGUUCAGGUGUCAAAAUUUUUCGACGUGCUUCCCACCAGAAGUCAGCUGAUCCUGUUAGCUGGAAUGAGACGCAAGAUAGGCGCUCCUCAUCAGUACAACGUAGAAAGUUGAAAAUACGUUCCAUUGCACGCACCCAAAUCUCAGCUUCAGCCGGUUCACUUGUUCCGUCAAACGUAGGUGGAUUUUGCCUUAAAAAGAGUUCUUCGACUCUCCUAGUCGGGGGUGGAGGGGGUGGGUUAUGUCCUCGAGCAUCUUGUGGUUCUUCUGGUACAGCGUUAUGAUUUCUGCGAUUGUUAUUGUUUCUCACAGGGCGUCCUCUCUUAGGCGGCAUUCUGAUAGCAAGGAUGUGCCAAUAAGUACACUCUAGCAUAAUCUAAUACAAGCCUCAAAAGAAUUCUUGUACAGGUUAAAUUAUUCUAACUUGUAAACAAGUCAUAACUCCAAUGACUGCAUUGAUGUAGUAAGCUUUAAGGGUCCUUAGCAUCUCAAAUCCAUGAGUCAUAUCAAUUCUUAAGCAUAUAAUAUCACAUCAUCUAAAUUGGAUACUUAAGCAUAAGUCAUGGAGAUUCAUAGCGGCUAUAAAAUCAUGAGCUUAAGAAUUAUUCUAUACGUAUCACUUAUCUUGCUGCCUUCACUAUAGCCACCAAAAGAUACAAUCUAAUUUCUUCUAUGUUUGCUUCUAUGUUCUGUCGUAGUGGUGAUCUCAUAACUUAAUAGCUCUAUGUUCAUAGGGAUUCAUUCCAUAGGCAUACUUAAUCGCACUUGCGUAAAUCAUUUCAUUCAAUAACAACAUAACAUAACUAUUAACAGUUACUCACUUUGCUAUUACGAUAAUUCUGACUUUUUGUAAACAUUAACUCAAAACUUGGAAGAGCAUACCAUUCUGCUUCGUUGAGUGUGAUGCGAUGAAGUGCUGAGCUUUGUCGAUUGAACUCUAGACACUUUAGUGAUCCAUUCUAAGUUUGGCUUAAAUACUCAUUUACCUGUACUUUUCACAUUUUCACAUCUCUCAAUAUUCUAUUUACUUUUACUUUUCACAUUGUCGUAUUAAAACUCGCGCUUCUCCAUUCUAGGAAAUUAUUUUGGAGACAAAGGAAGUAUUAUAUUAUUAUAUAAUAAGUAAAUAGGUUUCUAAACGUCUAUAUAUUUUUGUUUACAAUGAUCGGAUUUUGAAUUUUUUGAUGUUGUUGGAUUUUCACAGUUUAUGUUGCGUUCUACAGACUUUUGUGGUUCAAAGUAUAUUAUAAAUAAUACUCCAUCCGUCCACUAAUUCAAGGCCUUCUUUCCUUUUUGGGACGUCCACCAACUCAAGGCCUGUCCAUUUUUAGUAAGUUUUUAUUUAUAUUUAAUUGGUGGGUCCCAAAACAAUACACUUUUUCUCCACUCAACUAAUAAAUAAUACAUUAGUUGUGGGUCUCUUUCUCCACUCAACUAAUAAAAAUACACUUUUUCUUAAAACCCGUGUUUUGCUACUUAGGUCAUGAAUUAGUGGACGGAGGGAGUAAAUUAAUAUAUGAGCUUAACUAUUUACUAUCAUAAAAAAAUCAACUAUUUUCUUGUCUUCUUGAUUUAUUAUUUCCACAUUAAUAAUUCAAACCACCAAUAUAAAUAUAAUUAUAUAUAUUAAAAGGCAUGUGUGUGAAAAUAAAUUCAAUUUGAAGGAUAAAAUUGAAAUUGAAAUAAAAUGCAUCAUCUACUGUAAUAAUACUGUCGAAAAUAUCAACCGAAAAAAUAAAUUGCCCAAAGUUUAAUGUUACAAUUAGGGUUAAUUACGUCAAAACUCAUGAACUAUAUAAGGGUAACAUUGCCCCAAUUUCCAACUUUUCCAUGAACUUUAUAUAUAUAUAUAUAUAUAUAUCAGCAAUUCCACCAAUUUAAGGGGUUGAACAAAUUUUCUACAAUUUUCAUAAUUCCCCAAAUUGAAAGCUGACAUGACACCUUUUAAGUUAAUGGAAAAAUGACGUGGAAUUAUCGGACGAUUAAUAAAAUGAUGUCGUUUAGGUGGGAUAAAACGACGCCGUUUUGUCCUGUGUUUUUUUUUUCUCUCUCUCCUAGAAUUGUCGUCGCUGCCGCGAAUCGGAGCUACACUUGUUGCCGUCGUCUGCUGCUGCGUGAAUCGGAGUUGCACAUGUUGUCGCCGCCUGCCGCUAUUUCGUCCAUCUCUUCCGCGACCAAGACGUCUGCUGAAAUUGGGGGCAACGAGUACUGCAAUGGCAGUGGUUCGUGCCCCUUUCUUUCUUAUCGACCCCUUCGCAACCCCGUCUCUCACCGCCGGCGACAUCCACGUAGGAAUUCGACUGAAUCAGCAGACGUUAAGGGUGGUAGGGUUUUGGGACGGUCAGGAACUAGGACUCUGACGACGACUUGUUGUUGUCAAUCAAAGCGAGAGAGGGGCGAGUUUUCGUGUCUAAGAUCGAGGCAGGCGGCGGCGCCUUGCCGUCGCUAAAGAGGAAGGCGAAGGCGGUGGAUUUUGAGGAGGAGUCAUCUUAUUCCAGCGGCGAUCCACCAGACCUGGAGGAUGAGAGAGGGAAAAUCAUGGAUUUAUUAUUUUUUUUCCAUGUGUCAAUUUUUCAAUCCAAGUAGGCUCGAUACUGCCACAUGAGAGCUAUGUCAGCUUGGUACUUCACCGAAGUUCAAAUAUGUGGAAAAAAUUGUUCAACCCCUUAAAUUGGUGGAAUUGCUGAUUAAUAUAAUAAUAAUAAUAAUAAUAAUAAUAAUAAUAAUAAUAAUAAUAAUAAUAAUNNNNNNNNNNNNNNNNNNNNNNNAAACAUAAUCAAAAUAUGGAAUUUUUAAAACACAUUAUCAUCCUAGUUAAUAUUUAAGUGAAAAACCUACCCAUACUAAAAUUUGGGCUACAAUUCUACCAAACCAAUCUGACUCGAAAAUCACUUUUAUUAAAAAAAAUGUCGGGGCGACUAGUCUAAUUUUCAAGCCAUGUUUCUCACGGCCCAGUCCGAAAAAAUUCGAGUGCCAAAACUUCUACGACGUAGCUCAUUGAACAUAGCUGAGCAACUUUUGAAAGGUCUAAUAGUUAUUACUUUAUUCGUUCACAACAAUUCUUCCACUGAUUUUAAGAAAAGUUAGUUAUAUAACUUAUAUAUGUAUUUGGUGAGUGGGGGAAUGAGCUUCACAAUUAGAAAAUGUGUUGAUAAUUACUGAGUUUUUGUGAGUCCAUUUAGUGGCAAUAUAUGUAAUAUGUAGGAAUUUUAAGGCUGAUAGUAAGAUUAUUUCUAUAAAAAAAUAGUAAGAUAUUUUUGUGGAUGAACGAUAAAAGAAAAUUAAAAAGAGCUUUUGUGGAUGAAAGAGAGUAUUCUAGUGAGUAAGUGAUAUGCACACGGUCACGAGAGUGUGAUUUGUUUUGUGUUACAAAAUAAAUGUUGUCCUAAUUUCUACAAAUUGAGAUUUUUAAUUUUUUUAAUAUUUAAAAAUUUAUUUUUGUGUUUUUCUUUCUUUUGCAUGUGUAUCUAUAGUGAUUGGUGUGUAACUAUAAUAGACAUGUGAUCGUACAUAUAAUCUGAAUAGAAAUUAAUUAUUUAGAUUUUAAAGUGUAUCCGUUCAUGAAUAAUUUUGGAUGAUGAAAUACAACUUAAUUAAUAAGAUGUUCUUCUUUCAAUUAAUAGAUCAAAAGUUUGAGUCACCUAAAAGAACUAAUGUAUGUGGAUCAUUUUUUUUAGGGAAAAUUGCACCUAAAUACACAAACUUUGCCAAAAAUCCAUAUUUGACGUGAAGUUAGGAUUUUACAUUUUAAUACACCAACUUUUGUUAUUAUCCAAAUUUGACACGACUUAAUUCUUAAAAAUUCAAAAAACAACCCCUUUUUAUAAAUAAUUAUACAAAGACCCACUUAUGUUAUAAUUUGGGACAUUUAAACCAAAACAAGAUAUUUUCUUAUGAUGUUUUCUUUUAAAUCAUUUUAGGCGCGGAUCAAAGAUUAAAAGAAAAUAUCAUAAGGAAAUAUCUUGUUUUGGUUUAAAUGUCCCAAAUAAUAACAUAAGUGGGUCUUUGNNNNNNNNNNNNNNNNNNNNNNNNNNNNNNNNNNNNNNNNNNNNNNNNNNNNNNNNNNNNNNNNNNNNNNNNNNNNNNNNNNNNNNNNNNNNNNNNNNNNNNNNNNNNNNNNNNNNNNNNNNNNNNNNNNNNNNNNNNNNNNNNNNNNNNNNNNNNNNNNNNNNNNNNNNNNNNNNNNNNNNNNNNNNNNNNNNNNNNNNNNNNNNNNNNNNNNNNNNNNNNNNNNNNNNNNNNNNNNNNNNNNNNNNNNNNNNNNNNNNNNNNNNNNNNNNNNNNNNNNNNNNNNNNNNNNNNNNNNNNNNNNNNNNNNNNNNNNNNNNNNNNNNNNNNNNNNNNNNNNNNNNNNNNNNNNNNNNNNNNNNNNNNNNNNNNNNNNNNNNNNNNNNNNNNNNNNNNNNNNNNNNNNNNNNNNNNNNNNNNNNNNNNNNNNNNNNNNNNNNNNNNNNNNNNNNNNNNNNNNNNNNNNNNNNNNNNNNNNNNNNNNNNNNNNNNNNNNNNNNNNNNNNNNNNNNNNNNNNNNNNNNNNNNNNNNNNNNNNNNNNNNNNNNNNNNNNNNNNNNNNNNNNNNNNNNNNNNNNNNNNNNNNNNNNNNNNNNNNNNNNNNNNNNNNNNNNNNNNUAAAAGAAAAUAUCAUAAGGAAAUAUCUUGUUUUGGUUUAAAUGUCCCAAAUAAUAACAUAAGUGGGUCUUUGUAUAAUUAUUUACAAAAGGGGUUGUUUUUUAAAUUUUUAAGAAUUAAGUCGUGUCAAAUUUGGACAACAACGACAGUUGGUGUAUUAAAAUGUAAAAUCCUAACUUCGCGUCAAAUAUGGAUUUUUGGCAAAGUUUGUGUAUUUUCACGCAAUUAUCCCUUUUUUUAUGAAAUAAAAUUUGAAAAUAUAAAAAGAAACCUGGGGAACUAGAGAAAUUUUGCUUUAUAAAAAGACUUUUUGUACGUAUAUAGCAUGGUUAUUUUUCUUUAAAUAAUAAAAUUUGAAUAUAUAAAAUGAAAGCUUGGGAAGAAAUUUUGCUUUAUAAAAAGACUUUUGGUUGCUCCAUGUAAAUUAAAAUGAAGUAGCGUUGACUGCCGCCAAAAUAUCUGAUUGGUUGACAAUUUGAUAGAACAUCUUUUGUCUCAUGUCCUCUUUAGUUGUGUAAUAGUCUAUAUACAAAUGUGUUAAACUUCCUGUAGUAUUAAUUAUUGAAACAAUUUUAAAAAAUCUAUAGAAAGCCCUAGUCCAUAAGAGAGGAGCUACUCAACGUGAAUGUUUGUUAGGCAAAACAUUCACGUGAAUACACACAAUCCCCAUGAUUUGUGCAAACAACGGUCACAAUCUAUUUAUGUUGGUAUCUUGUCUAUAAUGAUAGUAUGGUAUUUAUUAUGGCAUCAAACCAUAAUGCGCAGCUCAUUUUAUUUGCUCAAUUUCAUAUAGAUUAAGAGAGUGAGCAAGUUUAAUUAAUUUUCUGAUUUGAAUCAAAGUUAAAAAGAAAGAAAAAAAAAUUGGAUUUCGUAAACAUGAGUACUGACGAUUAAAAAGUUAUCAAGUGACGGCACUGACAAAGAUCUAGAUCUACGAAAAUUUGGAAUGAUGGUUAAUUUAGUAUCAUACAAAAAACUGUGUAAAAAGAAUUUAGUAUCAUACAAAAAUUUUGAAUGUCUUACAAAAGACUACAAUUUGUAUUGUCGUGUAUACACAAAUAUUAUAGUCUUUGUUUGCAAGUAUUAAGGUUUUUGAUGAAAAUUGUUGAGAAAAUUGACUGUACACUACGGUUGUACAUGAAAUAACUACACUAAAAACCCUAGUCUACAAUUGACAAAUAGAUUACAAUAGAAACUGUAGCAUAUGUCCAUGUAGUCUAUUGUGGAUAUAUAUAGACUAUAGUUUCAUGUGGAAGUAGAUCUUUAUGAUCGAACCACGCAAAAAUUCUUGAUAUUAUUUCUCUUUAUAUUUAUUUGUUGAGGAAUCAACCUGUUAAUCUAAUCUCAACAUAAAUAGUUUUUUAGUUGGUUUUCUGUGAGACUGAAUGUAUAGGUGAGACCGAUUUUGACCCAACCCGAUCAAGAGCGCGGGCGUGGGGAGGGUGCAAGCGCAACUUGGGCAGAGCAACAGGGGCGUGCGCGCGAAGCUAAGGGUGUGGGCGUAGGUGGCUGGCAGAGUUGCGGAGGGUGCAGGCGCAGAGCGAAGGGCGCGGCGACGAUGUACUUAUUUUGAUCAAGUAAUUAUUGUUGUAAGAAAGUAAUCUGAUACUAGAAACUUUCGGCGUGCGACUAAAAGCUUUCGGCGUGCGACUUUUUGGCCCAACGCCCCACGGCCCUGCCGGCGUGCUCCCUCUGCGUCGAGCCUCGCCGUCCGCCUAAGCCUCGCCGCGACACCGUCGCCCUGGCACUCUCCUCGGCGUCGCCCAGAUGAGGCUACCUCCCAAACUCUAAGAUCUGAGACUUGAGAGCGCUAGCAGUUGCAGAGAUUGGAGAUCGGAGCUCUUUGCGCUGCACAACUUCUCGCCGACCAUAACCUGCGCGACUGCACCGCGCUGCCACCCUAGGCGGUUCGCCCAGCCAGUCUCAGAGCCUCACCGCACGCAGCAGCAGCAAUUCCGCCGUCCAAAAGCAGAUCGCUGAAAUUUCGCUGCAUCCGACGACGCCGUCGCGUUUGUAGCUGCCACAGUGGAGAUCGCCGCUGGAGUUCUACUACUCGCUUGAAGUCGCAUGUUGCUGCUGCUCUGGAAGUAGAGUCAAGGCUGCUUCCGCCACAGUGCCGACGAUGGCAGGUUAUGCCGACCGGUCGGCACUCAACCUCCCUCCUAUUUCAAAUAACUUUCGGUCUUCUCCAACGAACCCUAAGCAGCAGGAGGCUGCAACAACACAUAUUUCUGCCGAUGAGAAUCAAAAUCACGUUGAUGUUAAUUCUUUACCUACUGCGCGUGCUCUUCUCAAUGCAGGAACCUCUGCUUCUGACCAACAUGUUCUCGCCGCUGAGCAGCAGACUACGGGAAUGCCUGAUGUUGCGGCUUCGGAAGGCAACAUCAAGGNAAUAAUUCAUAUUUUUCAACUAUAUAAUCAUAACUGGCAAAACAGCGGAGGGCACGAGCGCGAAGCGAAAAGCAUGGCAGAGGUAAUACUUAUUUUGACCAAAUAUUAUUUUUGUAACAAAAAAUAAUUAUUUAUAUAAAAAAGGUAGUAUUUCAAAAUAUUUUUUUAUGUCGAUUAUUACAUUUCAUCAUAAUAAUUACUAUGAAUUAUUCGGUCCAGGCCUAUGUCCCAGCUUUGACCCAACCCAUCUCACCCAUAUACUCAGUCUCACACGAAUAUUUGUGAAGUGAUAACUAGACGUGAACAUAACGAAGUGUCAAUUUUCUCUGAUAACAAUAAUUAAUGUUUUCGUUUUAGGGGGUGUAUUCGUUCAGGAAUUUUGUAGAUUUUUUAAAUUCAAGGACUUUAAAAGUUUAUGGAUUUCACACAGAUUCUUUCGUGUAUUUUGGAAUUCUAAUAGGAAUCUACACAGAUUUUGGAUGGAUUUUAUCAUGAAUUUGACGUAAUUUUUACGGAUUUGAAAUCAAAAAUCCCAGCAUCCGUUGGCUCAAGCGAGCGUUGGACCCAGUGCCCAACGACCGUUGGGUGCCUCGCUGGCUUCUUCUACGUGCUAUCCGCGGCCGCUGGGUUCCAGCCGGCGUUGGCUUCUUCGAGCCGCGGCCGCUGGAUCCCAGCCGGCGCUGGCAUUUCAAGAUUUUCAAAUUCUCGUGGUCCGAGCUCGGAUUUGUUCAUGUAUAUUUUUUGAAUGAAAUCAAUGGAAAUCAGUCCAAUGUUAAAAUCCAUAGAUUUUUAAAUACACCCAAAUUUUCAUAGAGUUUUAAAAGUCUUGAACAAAUACACCCAAGUUUUUAUAGAUUUUUAAAAGUCUUGAACGAUUACACCCAAAUUUUCAUAGACUUUUAAAAGUCUUGAACGAAUACACCCAAAUUUUAAAAGUCUGUAGAAAUCUAUUAAAAUCCUGAACGAAUACACCCCCUUAGUUCCACUUAUGUGUCACUGAAAUAUGUAAUACCUUAUUCUAUAUUAACAUCACAAUCAUGCACUUAACAAUUCUUUUAUGCGUGAACUAAUGUAUAGUAUAAUUUUUGGUUUUUUGAAAUGUAUUCAGCCAUCAAAAUUAUAGUACAUGUUUAGGAAAUAGAAAAAUCUAUUUUUGUAAUCUUAUUAAUUACUAUAAUGAAUGCUUACAUAUACAACCAACUAUCGAAUUCUAAAAGUACUAAAAGGGGUAAAUUAGGAAGAAUGUUAGUAUAAUUUUAAUCUUAAAUUCUAAAAUGGUCAUUUAAUAAAAAAAAUAAAAAUAAAACACUUAUAAAUAAAGGAGGGAGUAAUAUUAUUUAUUGCACGUUAUUUAUAAUAGUGUAACGAAUGCCAAAAGUCUUACAUAAAUUAAAAAUAGUCGAGGUUUCAAACUGCAGGUGUUGGGCACACCACUCGUAUAGGGAAAAUUUGUCCAUAUUAAUAAUUACUAUUUUAUUAGUUAUCAACUGUGGUCAGUAGAUAUUAUUAUCAUAUCUAAUUAACAAUUUUUAGUGUCACUUGGGCCUUUGUAAAAUGAACAGCUUGGUAGUGAAAGUGUCGUGAGCUGAAAUGAAGAUAACAUUUUUAAUUAUACGGAUGAUUUUCUAAGAUAAAUAAUACAGAUUUAGACUCUCGCGCAAUCAACUACUUCUCGAAAUGUCGACAAAUAAUAAUACUCAUUUCGCGAUCAACUCAUUGUACAAAAGUUUUGGUCUACUUUGGACCAUAGAGUGAAAGGCUAAGAAAUAACUUUACGUAAUAAACAAUUAUUUGAAAUUUAACUAUCAUUUCAUGGGAGGAAAGUUAUCGUAAACCGUGAGAAGAAUUAUUUUUUUAGAAUUUAUUGCAUAUAAAUUAUAAAUUUUUAAAAAUGUUUUAUUUCGUACAUCAAUUUUAAAAAUGAUUGUUUGAAAUUUUACGUGUCUAAAUUGACCGAUUAUUAAAGUGACGUGAAUUCGCAAAGAUAGGAAAAUGAACGAAAUAACAUCGAACGGCCACUUUAACACUAAGUUUGAUCGUAAAAUGAGUGAGAUAGACAAAAUGGAAAAUAAUAAUAAUAAUAAUAAUAAUAAUAAUAAUAAUAAUAAUAAUAAUAAUAAUAAUAAUAAUAAAAAUAAUAAUAAUAAUAAUAAUAAAGAAGUAAUUUUAAUACAAAUUUUAAAGUUGAUGUGCAAAAUAUUUCUUUUUUAAUUUAAAAUUUACUCCCUUCAUCUCACCAAUUUAGUCCUCUUUCACACAUAUUAAGAAAAUUAAUGCAUUUAAUUUUCUUUUAAAAAAAUAUUAAUUUGUAUAUUUUUAAAUAAGAUUAAUUUAGUAAAUUAAUAUUUUUGUAUAAUAGUAUUAAUUAAAAAAUGAAUUAUCUUUUUAGAAUAUUUCAAAAUAAAAUAAAGAACUAAUUUCAUUGGAUGGAGGGAGUAUAUGAAAUGAACUCAAUUUUUCAUGUAUUAUUGCAUCAACCGGUGACUAUUCUUUUGUUUUUCUUUCUGAAACCAACCGGUGACUAUUCUAAAUUCACUCUAGUGCUUAAAAAGAAAAGAAUUAAUAUGCAUAUAUAUUCUUAUCCUCAAAGAUAAAGAAAUAUUAACGAUAAUGUCGAUACAUGAGAUUAGCAACUGCACAUUUCUUUAACGCGUAUUUAUCCAAUAAACACUUAUGACAACUGCACAUUUCUUUUCGUUAUAAAAAAAUAUUAGCAUGCUCACAAAAUAUAUAACCGGGCUCAAAGAUUUCUUCUACUUCAGUUUUAUCUAGUCAUUACUAUUAUUUAACUAUAUUAUUUAAUUUAUUUUAAUAAAAGUAAUAUAAACAUCAAUUUUGAUCAAAAUCUAACUUUAAGGUUUAAGAAGGUUGCAAAUUUCGACGAAUUUAACUUAUAAGUAGUGUGAUGCCCCGCUUUUUAAAUACAUAUUAGAUUAAAUAUGUGCAUUUUAUAAAAUUCUUUUAAUUAUUUAUGGUGAUUAUUUUGUUCAGAUAAUAUUAUUUCAGCAAAAGUCUGUAUAAGAGAUACAGAGCUGCGAUUUAAUAUUCAGUCAUGAAUGAAACCAAUAAUUAAAUUUAUUGGUUUAACUAUACGUUUGAGACUUUGUUUUACCAGUUUAUUGAUUUAAUCAAUAUUAUUAGAAAAUUUAGAUUUAUAACCGAUUUUAUAAAUCGUGUUAUUUAAAUCAAAUUGCUAGAAUUAUAACUUGAGAUCAUAUGCAUAAUAAUUUUAUUAUUUCGCAUUAUAUGAGUUAAGGUAUUAAGUCACGAAUUAAUUCCGACUUUCACGUUAUUAAAUCUCAAGAUUGAGGAUUUAAUUUAUUAAAUACGAGAGUAUUUAUUAAACGAGAAUUGGAGAAUUAUUACAGGAACUAGGAGAAACUAGAUCACGGCACUACACGUAUGUCUCGAUUUUUCAUCCAACACAUCAAUUCCUACACUAUUUCCUACACUAUUCCCUACACUAUUCCCUAUACUAUUCACUUCCCCUCCAAUACACCAUUACUGCAGAAGGAGAUUGUAAAGAUUGCAGAUUUCUUCCUGUAGUAUAUCUGAACUCCAUCACACCCCAAAGUCUCCUGUAGGAGAAGAAAAUCACGCCAAUAUCCACAAUUUUCAAAAGACUUCAGCACGCCGAGAAAGAAAUUUCACGGUAAGAUCACAAUUGUCAAAGAUGUAAAUUUCAACGAUCAAAUCUUCAAAAGUUGCAACUCCAGGUACCAAAAUUUCCACCAUUUUGAUUCUGUUGUCUGCAGAAACUCCUCUAUAAAUUGAGGAGAGUUCUGCAGAAGGAAGAAGUGCAGCGAGCAAGAGAGAGUUUGAAUUUUUUUUUUACUUGCAAGAGCUCAAGUGAGCUCCCUUCGCCGGCCAUUUCUUCGUCGACCGGCCACUAGGCUCUGAACCGAGAACGUGUACUCGUUCCUCCAUUUAGGCUACCAAACCCAACAAUCGAAAGGCCGAAACCUUCUCUAUUUUCCCGACCAAAGCCACAAUAUCCUUCGGAGGCCAACGUCGAAUUCCCGACUUAGCCACCGGCCAACUUACGGCCUUCUUUCUCACUAUCCUUACGACGAAAAAGGAUCGAGAAACCACCUUGUGUAGCCUGAUCUACUCGCACGAGGAAAACUAAGUCGUAGACCUUCGCGGCUAAACCCAUGCGGAACGACGACCAGAAAAAAACCCCGCGAACAACUUCCAUUAGUGCUCACUUGGACAAGGGUAAGUUGACGCCCUUAUUUCGAUGCAUUCCCGUUUCUAUUAUAUUAUGGAAAUUUCUGGGGUAUAGAUGGAGUGUGGUAAUAUUGUACAAAGUUUCAUUCAUUUGAACUUCGUUUACUACCCUUUUAAAAUUGAGAAUCUACUCCGUAUCUGCUAAACUGUCGUAGGCAGAUGAUUAGGUUAAUUAUUUCAGUAACCAUAUGUUGAUAUUUAGCUCUCAAUUUUUAUUUAUGAAGAUAUAUGUGUUAGCUAUCUCAUAUAAAAUUUAGUAUUCGGUAACGUUUGCUAUUUUUUCAAAAAUCUGGACUUUCAGUUGGCAGAAACUGCCGAAUCUGGUAGGCGAUGGGAAAAUCGCUAUAUCUCUUAAACUACUUGGAGUUUUUUCAACAACUUUUUUUUCAAUUAAACUAGACUCAAAGAGGUUUCUAUUGAUAUAAAAUUGACUCCAUACGAGUUCGGAGUAAAAGCAGUUUAUUAGUUGAAGUUGAAUCUAUACAGUUUUGUUGAGAUGAAAUGUUCAAAUAAUUCUAUAAGGAUUUUAAAGUUUUAUUGUUGAUAAAAUAUCACUUUUAGUUAUAAAUGAGCUAUUGAUUAUAAUAUUUGAGAAAGAUUUCAUGAGAACUUGUUGGUAAAAUUAUAUUAGAUGGAAUAGUUGAUAAAUGAAAUAUUAAAGAUUUAUUAAUAAAUGGUUAAAAUAUUAAAAUUAUUAAUAUUCGAUCUUCUCGAAAAUUUCUUUUAUAGUUAACUCCUUUUAUUAUUUUUAAAAUAUUUUUUACAAAUGUUCCUAAAAUCUCACAAUGAAAUUUUCAUCAGGAAUUAAUAUUUAGAAUUUAUUAAUGACUUAUUAGUUCUUUUAAUAGUAGCAAUAUAUAUAUAUUGAUUGGCAUUAUUAAAUGGGGAAAAGGAAAAUAUUUUAUAAAUUAUUCUUUAUUUAUAAUGGAUAAAUAAAGGAAUAAUAUAAAAUGGGCUUUCCUACAUCCUCAAAGGUACAUGAAGUAUUUCGAUAAAAGAAGAACGAUUGUAUAUGAGUUAGAUACAGUCGUUUAAGGAAAUAUGGGUAGUUAGAGAAAUGAGUGAAUAGUGAUUCACUGCAUUUGUUGUUAUCUUUUCUAUUAUUCACUCGAACACAUGUUUCGUGUUAUCAAAGGUUCAAAUAAACAAAAGCGCCUGAGUAACCUAUCGCGCUAAGGAAAGAGAAUCAUUGUCUUAAGUAGCAAAACACUGCAAUCAGGUAGGCAUUACUUUCAUAUAUAUCAAAUGAGCUUAAAUGUUACGUUCAAGCAAGUUAUUUCAUGACAAAAUCUUUGAAUUGAAGUUAUUUCAAGUAUUGUCUUGCCAUAAAAUGUUUAAUUUCAGUAUGAUAUCUAUCUGAUAUGGCUUUGCCAGUUAUCAUGUAAUCGAAUUCGGGUCUUGAGCAGUUGAUAGCUAUCCUGCCUUGGCUAGUGUACACCAGUGACCGUGAGUCAUCUAGCGGGUUGGCCGGUCAAGUGACCGUGAGAGGUGGCCACCUCUCCGGCACACAGAUUCAGAUAUGAUAGAUUACAAAAGAACUUAGUCUGAUCAGACGAACUUUAGAAUCACAAAUGAAUUUAGUAUGCUUAGGGCCUUUUUAAAAACCCUUGGUUAUACUAUUGAAAUGGCAUGACAAUUUACAUUUAUUAUGUAUGUAUAUGAUUUUCGGCAUAUGUCUACUGAGUACUUUGUACUCAGCCCUGCAUGUAUUUCUAAAUGUGCAGGUUGAGCAGUGAUGAGUGAUGAUGGGGUGUCGUACGGAGCUUUGUCAUAUUUACUAAAUAAACUCUUGGCGAUACAUGUCUUCGUACAUGUAUCACGUUCUAUUUCCGCUGCAAACACUCAGUUAUGAUGCAUAUUAUCCUAUUAUGUUGGAUUGUCAAAUCAAGUUAUUGUAUAAACACUUAAAUCGGAUACUCUUGACCGAUUACUCGCUCUUAUCUAUUUAUGUGUGUUUUUUUUUCUCAUAUGAUGUCUCAAUCUUAGUUCAAUUCCUUUAUUAUUUAUCACCCCUUUUCUGUCCCCUCUCCUAAUUUCCCUUCCCUAGUCACGGUUUCCCGGCUUACCUAUCCUUAGUUAAGAUCGGUCGUGACAUUUUCAUUCCUCCCCAACACUCCAAUUCCAAACCCUAGCCUCCAUUCUCUACCAUUUUUCUCUCUUCCACACACAAGAACAACACCAAAAUCAAAGAAAGAAGGGGAAGACUUGGAAAUGAGCUCAUCAAGACUACAUGAUUGAAGAUCAAGAUUAUAGGAUUUGUCUAUGAAUCUCUAUCUCUCUAUAUCUUUAUUUAUGUUUUCUUAUGACUUGGGAUUUGUUUUUAUUAUGAAUAUGCUUGGCUAAAAUCCCUUAUCUUAGGGAUUAGAUUAAAUGGAUUGGAUUGAUUUCUUUGUUUAAUAUAUAUCUUGAUUGUGCUUAAUUGUUAUCUUUUCAAGUCCUAGAUUUAUCUCUUGUAUGAUUGGUUGGUCACCUUUUGUGCAUUUCUAAUUUGUGAUUUGAAUUGGGAGAGGAUAAUUACAAUAGAUUAGGAGUUUGAUACAUAUCAUCUCAACAAACCGGGAGGUUGAGAGUUGGGUGAGGGCUUGUUGAUCCUUUGUGCUCUUGGGAGUUAUAGGUUAGAAAUUGACCGGGGACGGCAAUUAUGACCCGUAAUCUACUGUUUUAGUCGUCCGGGAGGGGGCUAAAACUAGUGGGGAGAUCGCCCUAGAUAAGUAGGCCAUAUCAAGAUUUAUAUUGCUUUAGAUUGAAGUUCAUUACGAUCCAUCGAAAUCUAGUCCCUAGGAUAACUUUCCUUCGAGUCAUUCCCCAAUUUAUUAACUAAGUUUAUUUUGUUGUUAUUUUAUUUACUUGCUUUAUUUAGCUUUGUUUUAGUUAUCAACACCUCUUCAACUUUGGUUGUCUAAAUAGAUUGAAAACAACUUUUUAAUAAUAUUUAGAAGUUUAAAUUCACCAAUCCUUGUGGAAUACGACCUUGCUUCCCUAUAUUGCAACUACACCGUAUACUUGCGGCGUGGUGAAAAUAAUAGCGAACAAGUUUUUGGCGCCGUUGCCGGGGAUUGGUUGAGUUUUUACUUUUGAUAUUAUGAAAAGUUGCUUUUGUCUAAUUUAGAUUUUUUUUAUAUUAGUUUAUUUAUAUGUUUAUUUACUUUUGGUAGAGAAAAUUGCCGCACAACCAAAGAAGCGGCACCAAAAAAAAAAUGGACGAUGGAAGGAAUGAGUUGGUUGAGCAACUCCAACUACAAUUGGCGUUGAUGCAACUUAAGUUGCGUGUUUUAGAAGCCAAAAGAAAUUGUAGGCAACCAUUGAUCCAAGAAGCCUUCCAACCAACACCUUCUUAUGGUGAGUAUUAUGACAUGGGGUGCAAUGCCAUAGAGUGGCAAUCACCAUUGGAGUAUGAGGACCAUUUCAAUAGUUGGAAUUAUGAAAAUUCUUAUUUCACUCAAGAAGGCUUCCAAGGGGGAAAUCGAUACUAUCAAGAGGAGAAAUCGAAUUCGAAAGACGAUCUCCUACAAUGCUUCAUAACUACACAAGCUUGGAUAGAAAAAAGUCUAGCAAAAUCGGAGGUUAUGCUAGAUGAGCAAAGGAGGUCUUUGGCUACCACUAUGAAAAAUCAAAAGUGAAUUGACGAUUUUUGCAUGGCCAUUAGCCUACAAAGCGGAACCUUGUAUGAGGAACCAAUGCCAAUGCUAAGUAAAGAGCCUCACGAAGUUGAAAAAGAGUAUGAAGAAAAGAGAGAUGAGAAUCAAUUUUUCAAACCCCUUGAAGCCGAGAGCCCAACUUUUCCAAUGCAACAUCUACAAUUCCAAAAAGAUGAAGACUUCACAAGCUUCAAAGAAUGCAAAGUCAUAAAUUUGGUUGAUCCUUACCUCGACACGGGCCAUUCUACGAAGGCUUGCUUCUUUCACUUAUAUUUAUCUGCAUCUUUUGAUUUGUCUAAAAAGGAAUUGUUUGAGUGUGGUGGUACUCUAGAUGGUGAACGAGAUUACCAUGACUCCCGGGAUGUCUCAAAGAUUGCUAAGCCACCAUAUAUUUUGGGUGGCAACGGAUGGAGCAUACAAAUUUGAUGAAAAAUGGCCACCGCCUAAGCCUCCACCUUCCUUGUGAGUAUGAGACAAGUAGCCAUUUUCUUCUUCUUCCAAACUUAUUUCUCCUUCGUGUGAAAUAAGUUUGGGGGAGGGUGAAGACGGGUUAUUUAUCUCAUUUAUCCGUUGUUUAUUUAUUUAGUUAUUCUAGUUUUGUUAUAAUAAUGUGAUUUUGUCUCUUUUCUUGAGCUUUUCCAUGUCUCUUGAGUUUGAGCUUGAUUGUUGAAAAACAUGAGUUGGAUGAAGUGUGUGAUGGGCUUAUGAUAAUAUUUGUUUUUGGAGAAAUUGUUGUGUUUCACCAAUCCUUGUGGGAUACGACCUUACUUCCCUUAUAUUGCAACUACAUCGUACACUUGCGGCGUAGCGAAAAUAAUUAGCGAACAAGUCUUUUGGCGCCGUUGCCGGGGAUUGGUUGAGUUUUUACUUUUGAUAUUAUGUAAAGUUGCUUUUGUUUAAUUUAUAUAUUUUUAUAUAUAUUAGUUUAUUUAUAUGUUUAUUUACUUUUGGUAGAGAAAAUUGCCGCACAACCAAAGAAGCGGCACCAAAAAAAAAAAUGGACGAUGGAAGGAAUGAGUUGGUUGAGCAACUCCAACUACAAUUGGCGUUGAUGCAACUUAAGUUGCGUGUUUUAUUAAUGAGUUGGGUUCGGUUCGGACCGGACCGGACCGGACCGACCCACUAUAUAUGUUUGGUCCGGGUCGGGUCCAAUUUAUAGAACCGAUUUUUUUUCGGAUCGAGACCCGAUCGAACCUGCCGAACCCGGACCGAUCCAUACAUUUAUAAUUAAUUAUUUAUUUUAUAUAUUUAAUAUUUAUAAUAAUAUUAAUAUUCAAAUUUCUAGUAAUCAAAAAUCUGGAAACUGAAUUUCAACUCAAAGUCAUAUUGCAUUCAAACUCAAAUUUCUAGUAGAAUAUCACAACUUAGCACCUGAAGUGCUUAACUUUGCAAUGUAGAUAUUGUAUUAUCAAUUGGAGGCAGAAUUGGUUAAUUAUUUUUGUACAUAUUGUAUUAUCAAUUUGUGUAUAUAUGAAAUUAAUGUGGGUGAAUAUGAAAUUUGUAGGUGAUAAUAUGUGUUUGUAUCGUACUCCAUCCGUCUAUGAAAAAGAGUCCCAUUUAGGGUUCGGCUCGGGUUUUAAGAAAAUUGUUAAAGUAGGUGUAAGUGAGAUAAAAGUAUAAUUUGUAGGGGUAUUAUUAGUACAAAAAAGUAGAAUAAAAGUACAUUUUUAGUUAAAAAGUGAAAAAAGUAAAAUUUAUAGUUAAAUGUAAGAGAAAAGGUAUGAUGUGAUGGUUCAAAAAGUUAAAUGAGACUAUUUUUCAUGGACAAAAAAAUGGAGUAAGUAGGACUCUUUUUCAUGGACGGAGGGAGAAAAAAAUUAGAUUAUCGACGGUUCAGACCUGGAUCUAACCGGACCCGUUGCUCGAGUUUGGUCCGGGUCUGAGUCGGUCCAGUCCCAAAAAUCGGUUCGAUUUUUUAAAAUUUUCGGUCCAACAAACCCGGCGGGUCGGUCCGAGUCUGUCCGAGUCCGACCCGUUGCACACCCCUAAUUAAUGAGACAACGAAGCACAAUUAAUUGAUAAAAUAUUUCUCAUUCAAUUAUUAGAUCAUAGGUUCAAGUAUUUAUAGGGAGAAAUAAAGAAAAAAAUUAUAUAUGGUGGAGUUAUUUUUGAACUCCAUAAUAGCUUUCCUAUUUUUGUGGGAUUUGUUUUUUGUUUGUUUUGCCUUCUUCACUUUGUGGAUAUAGGUUUUUGUAUGGAUUCAAAGGAGGUUGGAAGAUUCCUACAAACAAAGAAGUUGAAAGAGAUAUGGAAACAGAGAGAAAGUAGUGGGGAGGUCCACAAACAAGAAUGAGGGGCUGCUGAUCGUGGGGAAGCAAAUGGGAGUGGGUAAGGUUGUUCCUACAAUCAUGGAAAACCUAACAACUCUCAACAACCUAUGCAGCCACCUUCUCCUAUACCUAUCAACGACCUUCAAGGUUUGGAGAGCAAGUUAAGAAGUCUAUAAAUACUAAGGAGGAGGCUCAGUUCAGAUUACGAAGUUUGAAGAACAAAAUCGAGUCAUUUGAGUGAUCUAUGUACGAAUGUUGUUUAGAGUGUUAGGAUAACAUCGUUUAUAGCAUUCGUUGAUUUCGUCGGAUUUCGGAAUAUAGCUCUUGAAUCAGUUUUCGUUUGCUAGUGAGAGUGUCUAGUGUUCAAAUACCUAGAGUCUUGUAAAGGUAUUGAAUGUGAGUGUUCAUUUUCCAUUUAGUUAUUUUGCCAUAAGGCGUUCUUCAAAUUAUUUUAUAACUUGAAAAAAAAUAUCCAUACACUUAUGUUUUUUCUUUUUCUUUUUUCGCUGUAAUUUGUUUCUACUCUAUGACUCUGUGUGUUGUCUUAACACAAUGCUUAACAUCAAAGUUGAAGGAAAGCACUAACAAUAUAUAAAAAAUUGAUCACUGAUUAACCAAUAUCUUUUAUACAUAUUGAUCAGUCAUAGUGAUGCAAUAGUUUGAACUUUGAAGAUUUGAUGGAGCAGGUUACUGCGAUAAGUUAAAUGUCAUUUUCGAGUUGAAAAAAUGGAAAAAAAGGACUGGGACAUCUUCAACUGUUAGUGGAUAACCGAUAAAAAAUAUUAAAUACCAAUCUCCUUCAUGUGAAAAAAAUAAAUAAAACACUACACCUUUAGAAAAACAGAUAAUUGUCUUCUUCACCAAAGAUAAUAAGAAAAUACUAGUAUAAUACAAGGUGUUAUCUGCGUUCCAGAAUCCAGACUUGGAUAUGAUUAAGAAGAUAUAUUAUUUGGAGUUUUAUCAAUUUAAAAUGGAAACAUAUUUAUCUAUCAGUUCUAGACGUAAAAGAUCAAAACUAUCAAUUUACAAUUGCGCCUCUACAAAAAAAAAAAAAGGGGCACAAUUGUGAAUGAUUGAAUUAUCGAUCUAUAUAGCUUAAAAGAUAAUGCAUUUUCUUUCUUUCUUUUUUCUUUUUACUUUUCACUAUUUUCUGGUCAUAUAUACUCCAUUUGUUUUCAAUGAAACUAGUAGACGACUGAUCUACUAAAAAUUAUUUAAGAUUUGUUUACUAGGGACAUCCAAGCAUGUGAACAUUGAGAUAUUCAAACUCCAUCAUUCCUCUUCUCCAAAUCAGGAAAAAAGAAAAAAAAAAGAUUUCAUUAAGCAUUUGAUCGAUAGUUUUACUCAUUCGGGUCAUAAUUUGAUAAUUUCAUCUUCAUUUCAAAUUAAUAGCUAACACAUUUUUCAAGCAUCCACUCAAUAAAGCUCGAUUAUUAUUUAAAGGGUUAAUUGCCAUUAAAAUAUUGAAUUUUCACCAAAUUCUGAUAUUUCAUACAAAUUAUGACUUCCUAUCUAUAAAUAACCAUCAAGCAGUAUCUCAUACAUGACGCUGUACAAAAAUGACAGUUAACAUAUUCAACAAAGAAAAACAGAACUUUAAAAGGUAGCGUUGUAAUUACUAAAUUUUCAUAACAUAUUAAUUUUUCAUACAAACUUAAAAAAAAAUUAAAAUCAUAGCUUCUAUAGACAUGCAUGUUUCUCUACAAUUUGCAGAACACUAUAAAAAAAGAAGCAAAAUGAUUUUGUAUUGAAUCUCACAUCGAAAAGUGUAUGCUUUUACGAUGUACAUAAUGCACUAUAAAAAGUGAAGCUAAUAAAAGUUAGGGGUGUGCAUUCGGUUAUAUGGUUCGGUUUUUGCUAAAACCAAACCAAACCAUAUUUUAGUUCAGUUUGGAAAAAAAAAUUGAACCAAAUCGAAUUAACGUAACCAAACCGAAUUAACUAUUUUUUAAUCUAAAUCGAAUCGAACCGAAAAACCGAAUUAAUCCAAAAAAAUCGAAAAACCCGAAAGUUUUGAAAAAAAAAUGAAAAUUCCAAGAAAAACAUAUAAAAUUUAAAAAAUAUUUGAAGUUAGAUAUUAUAAAAUUAUAAUUAAAAUAUUAUAUAUAUUAUAUAUAUAUUAUAAAUAUAAUUCGAUUUUUCGGUUUUGUUCGGUUUUGAGAAAUCCGAAUAGAAAAAACAAAAUUUUAUGAAAAAUUAAACCGAACCGAACCGAACCAAAAAAAUCGAACCAUAUUUUAAAAUUUCGGUUUGGAUCGGUUCGGUUAUUCGGUCUCGAAUUUUUUGCUCACCCCUAAUAAAAGCUACAUUAAAUUGAUUUUGUAUUGAAUUUUACAUUGAAAAGUGUAAGUUUCUUUACAAUAUGUAGAACACUAUAAAUAGUGAAGCUACAUUUAAUUAAAACUUAAAUUAAAAUCUUCAAUUUUAAAUGAUUUUUAUAAAAAAAAUCAAUUAGAAAAUAGUACUCCCUCCGUCCCACUCCAAUAGUCUCAUUUUUCUUUUAGGGACGUCCCACUCCGAUAGCCUCAUUUCUAUUUUUGGUAAUAAUUUUACACUACAAACAAUGUGGUCCCUCUUUAUUCACUUUUACCCUUAAAAAGCAAAUUUCUUAAUUUCAAUGUCCAAAUAAAAUGAAACUAUUGGACCGGGACGAAGGGAGUAGUAAUUUUUUUUUUUGAUGCGUGCACACUAUGCACUUUUCUCUCUUUUAUACCUCUGCACCGAGUGCGCAUGUACGCGCUAGCGUGAGCUUGGGGAGCUCGACAAUGGAAGGGGCUCGCGCGAGUCGGCUAUGCGCCUCUGCGAGCCCCGUUGAAAAUGGUCAAUGUGGAAGAUUUGAUUUUGUGAAUAGAUAAAAGUACAAGAAUUGGUUUGUGCGAGUAAGAUAAUGUAGGAAACGCCCAUAACGUGGCAUUGAUUGCGUGCUGCUGCUGCUCUGAUCUCUUCUGUUUCACUUUUGUCCAUUUUCAAAUGGGAGAUUCUAUGGAAUAUACUCUUCCUUUCCCAUAGGAUAAUCCCACCACCCCAAAAUUUUUUGAUUUCCAUUCAAAUCAUACUCAAUCGUGUGAGAACAUGAAUACGCGCGUUUGGAAAUGAUUUAAAACUCAUUAAUAUUACUCCCUCCGUCCACGAAAUGAGUACCCAUUUGUGGACGGCACGGGUUUUAAGAAAUGUAUGGAGUGUAGUGUGAAUAGUUUAAGGGUCCCACUUUUUUAGUGUAUUAAUUAAAGAGAUGUGUGGGACACACUUGCCAAAAAGGGAAAUGGGUACUCAUUUCGUGGACGGACGAAAAGAAAAUAUGGGUACUCAUUUCGUGGACGGAGGGAGUAAUAUUUUAAGAAAAUCUAGCCUACAAUUUCGAAAAUUAAUUCCAAUUUNAAAAAAAUCAAACCAUAUUUUAAAAUUUCGGUUUGGAUCGGUUCGGUUAUUCGGUUUCGGAUUUUUUGCUCACCCCUAAUAAAGCUACAUUAAAUUGAUUUUGUAUUGAAUUUUACAUUGAAAAGUGUAAGUUUCUUUACAAUAUGUAGAACACUAUAAAUAGUGAAGCUACAUUUAAUUAAAACUUAAAUUAAAAUCUUCAAUUUUUAAAUGAUUUUUAUAAAAAAAAAUCAAUUAAAAAAUAGUACUCCCUCCGUCCCACUCCAAUAGUCUCAUUUUUCUUUUAGGGACGUCCCACUCCGAUAGCCUCAUUUCUAUUUUUGGUAAUAAUUUUACACUACAAACAAUGUGGUCUCAUACACAUCUUUAUUCACUUUUACACUUAAAAAACAAGUUUCUUAAUUUCAAUGUCCAAAUAAAAUGAAACUAUUGGACCGAGACGAAGAGAGUAGUAAUUUUUUUUUUUAUUUUUUUGAUGCGUGCACACUAUGCACUUUUCUCUCUUUUAUACCUCUGCACCGAGUGCGCAUGUACGCGCUAGCGUGAGCUUGGGGAGCUCGACAAUGGAAGGGGCUCGCGCGAGUCGGCUAUGCGCCUCUGCGAGCCCCGUUGAAAAUGGUCAAUGUGCAAGAUUUGAUUUUGUGAAUAGAUAAAAGUACAAGAAUUGGUUUGUGCGAGUAAGAUAAAGUAGGAAACGCCCAUAACGUGGCAUUGAUUGCGUGCUGCUGCUGCUCUGAUCUCUUCUGUUUCACUUUUGUCCAUUUUCAAAUGGGAGAUUCUAUGGAAUAUACGCUUCCUUUCCCAGAGGAUAAUCCCACCACCCCCAAAAAAAUUUGAUUUCCAUUCAAAUCAUACUCAAUCGUGUGAGAACAUGAAUACGCGCGUUUGGAAAUGAUUUAAAACUCAUUAAUAUUAAUAUUAAAUCUACUGUGUUAUUUGGAAAUGGAACAAAUUUGUACAUUAGUUCGCAGUUCUACGUAUUUAAUUUAAACUCUUUUUUAAUUAUUUAUAUUUUGAUUUGGUAUAUUCAUUCCUCUAGAUCAUUUCCUAAUAAAUUAAAACAUUUAAUAUCAGAAACCUCGUACUAAUAGUUCGCAGUUCAACGUAUUUAAUUUGAACUCCUUUUAAAUUAUUUACAUUUUGAUUUGGUAUAUUCAUUCCUAUAUAUCAUUUUCUAAUAAAUUAAAACAGUUAAAUAUUAGAAACCUCGUACUAUUACAGAAAAUAUUAAUGGCGUUCAUAUCAAAACCUCUUCUUUGUACAAUCGUUUUUUAAUGCAUGCUUGUACAAUCAUAUUAGAUCGUGCUACAUAGUUUUGAUGGAGAAUAUGUACAUAUGGAUAAGGAUAGGAAUGAAUCAAAUACCAUGUAAAAUUAACAAAAUUAAAGAAAGUCUAUUUUCAUAUAAUAUUAUCCACCACACCCAAUCUCAGUCGUACUUAACAAUGAUGAGCUUAUGAAAUAAGUAUAUUUUAAAAAAAAGGUUCUCUUAGUGUUCCACGAUAUUUUUAUUUUAAAGUUAAUCAAUUAUUGAUUAAUUUAUAUAUAAAUUAUAUUUUUAAUAUUUUUAAUAGUAUUUUUUAAAUAUUGAGUUGUUUUUGUUUUAAAUUGUGAUUGUGUAUUAAAAUAUCCGGAGCCGAACUAAAAGUAUUUAACAUUAUCCAGACCCCACCCCCACCCCCAACCUCCAAAACUUUGCCUUUAUAUAGAAGGAAUGCGAGUGUAGUCAAAUAAACCCAUAAUCACCAUGACUUCAUCAAGUUCUAGUCUCCCUCAUUCUUCCCCGCUCCCACUAUCCCAACAGCUUCAACUCAUCAAGGAACUCCAAAUCUUCAAAAUCCAAGGCUCCGACAGGCGCGGCCGCCCCCUUCUCCGCAUCAUCGGCAAAUUCUUCCCUGGUAAUUUCUCAUGUCCAAACUUUCUUCUUCAAUUUAACCUUUUUAACUACUACUAUUCUCUGAUGGAAAUGAUGUGCAACAGCGAGGCUUGUGAGCGUAGAGGCAGUGAAGAAGUUUCUAGAAGAUGAGAUCUUCCCGGAUCUGGAGGGCCGGGCGUUCUCGGCGGUGUACGUGCACACGGAGGUGAACAGGGGCGACAACUUCCCCGGGAUAUCGGCGUUGAAGAGCAUAUACGACGCCGUUCCGGCCAAGCUCAGGGACAAUCUCGACGCCUUCUAUUUCCUUCAUCCGGGCAUCCAGUCCCGCCUCUUCCUCGCCACCUUCGGCCGUCUCCUCUUCGGCGGCGCCGGCUACGCCAAGGUCAAGUAUGUUGCUAGAUUGGAGUUUCUGUGGGAGCACGUGCGCCGGAAGGGGGCGGAGAUGCCGGAGUUCGUGCACGAUUUUGACGAUGAGAUGGAGUGGCGCCCCACCACCGUCGAUUACGGCCUCGAGAGCGAUCAUCCUGCUAUAAUGCCUACCUUUGAUUCUACGGUUUCUACCUAUUCUAUGAGGUGUAUUGCCUAGAUUUCUACACUUUUUUUCUGUUUUUUUGGUUU
RNAcentral lists this long non-coding RNA (48181 nucleotides) under Salvia miltiorrhiza (redroot sage). Its description in RNAcentral is "long non-coding RNA (SMIL_LNC008440)". The record is from RNAcentral. Lineage: Eukaryota; Viridiplantae; Streptophyta; Magnoliopsida; Lamiales; Lamiaceae.